GGUGGGCAUGAGGAGCUUGAAGACGGUGAACUUGGAGAAGAUGGGGAGAUCCAUUAGGCUUUGCUUUUACCUCCAAGAUUUGUCAGUACUUACAACUGUCCCUUGUCAUGUUCUCAAUUGCUGCUAUUUUGUCUUAUUCUGCUUAAUAACUGACUAGUGUUAUAAUUACGGAAAAUUAAUGCCUACAUUUUUGUCAUCUUCUGGAAUCUACUCAUUAUUCUGCCUUUCUGCAGUAGCAUAAAACUGGUUGGCCUAUACUUUUGACCUUGCUCAGGGGAGCUUUGUCGUCUAACUUUUGUGGUGUAGCGGUGCAUUUAGCUCGGACGAUUUAGUGUAUGUUUGCAAGUUACUAGUUUUAUGCUUAUAUCACUAAACAAGUUUCUUACUGACAAUUUUGGGUGAGACAUCAGAGUUUGGGUAGUGGUGUCCUGAUUGUAGGCAAUAUGGUUUUUGACAAAGCCAGUGAUGGACAGUUCCAUGCGCCUGCUACCAUUGAUUCAGCAUGGACAUGGAUGCCUGUAGCCGCACUAACAACACUUGUUUGCAAGAGGGGCAGCCGCUGCAGCAGUUCAUCAUCUUUCACAGCAAUGAGUAAUUUGACAGUUCUGUCAUGAGGGGAUUUAAGUUUGAUGAGAUUGUAAGAUGUGUACAUGCGUAUGCAUGAAUGCAUACUCAUAGUCAGCUGAUCUUGUCACAGGAUGCCUGGUUUUACUGGCAAGAUGUUCCGAGUAGCGAUGCAAGUGGCGCCGCAGCAACUGCCCUGUUCCGCCGGCCAAAUCAGCUGUAGUAGUUUUUUCGUGUCAUUAGUAUAAUUUGUACUGUGAUAGCUGCUUAACUGUCUGUUGCUGGCGCACCUCUUGCAUCCUAGUUUUGAGUGUAGCUAUCAUCAACUUGAUUUCUACACUGAAGUAUAUACAUGUUUGUUUGUGUGUUAUUAAUCCUUGUAACCCAGCCGUUCUGAAUGUUGUGUGUUAAUGCUUGUAACCCAGCUGAAGAGGGUUAGCUGUUAGCCAUGGUGUGCAGCUUAUAUAUUAUUGAACGGUAAGGUUUAUACAUUCUGUUUAUGCAGGGAAGCGGACGUUUGGUUUCCGGUUAUUGUUGCUCUCUGUUGGUGAAUCAUGUUCUGCAGUAUAUCUAUUUUCGGCCUGUAAGGUUUAUAUGAUAUGUUUAUGGAACUUUGCGUAGGUUCAGUUGUGUGUUAUUGUUUUAAUCACAUACUGCUUGAGCUAUGCAUUUUUCUGUCAGUUUGUACUGCUGAACACAGCUUAGUGACUGCCUUGCGGUUACAUCUAGCAUAGAUUUGGACUUGGCUGGUUGUCACAUGUUUAUACUUUAGAAGGGGUUAUGUAAAAUUCACUGCCGAACAUGAGUAAUAGCUGUUGUAGGUGUCCACAAUUUGUUAGGCAAUAGUUGUAUCAAAAUUGAUCUGUGUCGGUGCCAUGGCAGUUAUGAUGGUGUGAGCAAAAGUGAAUGUGAGGAAAUAAUUCCUUAUUUAAGCCUAUUAAAUUAUUUUGUUUUUGACACUGAAAACUACUUUCUUCGCUGACUAACACCGAUUCUAGAUUUUAUGCCCUUUAUAUGACACUUCUGUCCAUUUUUCCAUCUAACUCUGUUAAAUUGCAUGUAAAAAGACACUUCUACCUUCGUGUAUGUUGGCUGAGGUCUGUACGCCGAUGCUACCAGUGUCAGUAGUUUCUCGACGAGGUGCCUGGCCGGUGCUGUUGGGCACAGUAACACGCGUAGAUAGACAAAAACUCGCUUGGUGAUUUUCAAUUAGUACGCCGGGCUAGACGUACAAAUGGAAGCUGGAUUCCUAUUGCCAAGCAGCCUGAUCGAUUCUAGCCGAACUAGCUAGCACGCGAAGCUAGUUUUGCACUAGCUAGCCUGAUCGAUUGAUGGCUGCUCGUGCAUCUGCAGCUACAAUAUGUGUUCUCUUAAUAUACGUGUAAGUGUAGGGCGUGUCGAGCAUGGUCGGGCGAGCUGGAGGUGUCUUUUUUAUGGUCUGCCUAGGUCUUAGUUGAUUGAGACUUAACCAAGAGUCAAGUGAUGUAGUAUAAAAAAAGAAAAGAAAAAAAACUGAAACGAAUAUUUUAUACGAAUCUUCAUGCAAGAUGUAGCGGAUACAACAUUGAUUGAGACUUAACCAAGUCUUAAUGAUAUACUCCCCGGUCCAAAAAUAUGUGUCUUAAACUUAGUUCAAUUUUAUAUUAAAGGUAGUACAAGGUUGAGACACUUAUUUAGGAACGGAAGGAGUAGUAUACAAGAAAAAAAAACUGAAACAAAUAUUUUGUACAAAUUUCUAUGCAAGAUCUAGGGGAUAAAGCAUCGAGUAGGAUCUAGUAAAUUGUGGUCACAUGCCACAUAAGAGGCAAAAAGAUAUUUUCCAUUGAUAUUUAACACCAUUAAGGACCCUAAGACUUCCGAUGGCGAAGAGGUCACCAGCAGGCUCUCUAACCUCUUCUAGUCACGCAUCACGCCACAUAGCUUUGACACAUCUGCACCGAAGUAAAAAAUGGCUGCCGUCCUCAAACAUGUUGAGAUUAAUUCUGUAAAAAGGGAAAUCUCCCCUUGCCCAAACGACCAAGCGGUUGCAUCGUGCGCGGACGCCUCUGUCCCGGCAACUGACGCAUCUCUCUGGAACCGAUGCCUCCUCUGGAUCGUCGUGUCUCUCCAGGAGAUAUAUAAGCGUCCUGUAAACCAUCAAGAGAUUCGAUCAUUCUGAUUCAAAACAUGUUAUCAUGCACGUAGAAGAGCUAGCAAGAGCAAAUAGAAACAACAGAGAGAAAGGAGAAGAGAGGGAGCACUCGCCGCCGGUGAGAUGCCUAACCUCGUUUCCUUCUUCCUCCGCCUGAUCCACGAGAAUGGUCGUCGAUGUCGUCGUCGCUACCAUGGAGUGGGUGGACUCAGGCGUUUCCGUUGCCGGAUGCAAGCCAUCCGUCGAUUUGGCCGCCACCGCGCUGCUAUACGUGGCGCUCCUGGCCGCCACCGCGCCGCUGGACGUGGCGCACCUGGCCGCCACCGUGCUGCUUGACGCGCCUCCCGCCUUGCUCCCCUCGCCCCUGGACGCGCCCACGACGGUGCUCCCUGCGCCCGUGGCCAGGCGCCCAUGGGGUUUGACCCCUGGCUAGUGGCCGGCCCGAGCGCCUCCAUGGUGCACAAGGCUGCAACCGCGGCUUGCAACGCCCCCUGGGUCUCCGCCUCCACCACCUCCUCCGCCGGCCGCGUGGCUCGCGCCGUCGACGCCACCGCCCGCCGCCGAGGCCGCCGACCCGCUCGGAUUCAUCCCCGUGCCGAUGCGCGCCGUCGUGAACGAGGAGGAGGCGCUCGCCUUCGUCUCCGCGCCAAUCGGCGCCUCCGGAGUUGUCCGCCUUGGAGCCGGCAUGGAGGGCGCUGACGCCACCGCCACGCCUCAGCAGUAGACGGCAGCGGGCUCGAGCAGCCGCGCCGCACGGCGCUUUGGGCAUCUCUUCAGGCGUCUCGUCGCUGUCAUCGACCGCCGCCCCAGCCGCCGCUCCGGUUCGUGGGCUCCGGCGAGCCUCGGCCUCGCCAGCGCCGCGCCUCCAGGAGCCCACCUGGACCCCGUCGUUGUUGCCUCUUCUUCGGACGAGGAGAGCUCGGCGAGGUUGCGCCGGUAACCACUGGAGAAGAAGGGAUGUGGCGGCAGCCACUCCUCCCCGCGACGGCGCUGUGACCAGAGGUGGGGAUCGAGCAGUGGUGCGGGGGGUCAGAGGAUCCGACCCGUAUCCGUAACCGCUCUCCCCCUCUGCUUUUUGCGGUGCGGCGGUGGAUGGGCCGGGUAAAGGCCGUGCAAGCCUAGGCCCAGGUGCAUAUGGGUCCUUGUGGUGGCUAUGUUUUUUUUUCUUUUUCUCUAUCUGUUUUUAUUAGUCUAGUACUAAUUAUUGUAUCAGUGCAGUUUUAGACUAUGUUUAGUACUGUUUAGUACUUAGUUUGACUACUACUUACAUUUAGUCCAGUUCUAGAUUUACUCUAGUUUAGGAUUUGUGUAAUUAUUGGUGUGUUUAUAUUAUGCAAAGGCUUGAUAAUAUAAAUAAAGUACCAAAUUUCAUUCGGGAAGAAUGACAUGUUCCAUGUGUUUACCACAUCUCAUUUUUAUUGAACAUGUUUUUGCGAUUGAGAUCUUCUCCCGCAUAUCAAAGUUGCAAAUUUUUGAAUAUUUCUCCCUCAUCUUAUUUGGAAUCACAAGGUAAUGAGUUGUGAUCUACUUCUCAUUUGUAGACUAUCUUCUCUUACUGUGAGGUCUACACUUUGUCAUUCUCGACAAACGAUUACCUCCAACGUGUAUUCCUUAUAUCUGAAUUGUAGCAUACACAAGGUAAUGACAAUGUAGCCUAUUACUGUGAGAUCUAAAGUGAUCUUCAUAGUGUUAUGUUCACACAAUUGAGGUUGAGAAUUUUUCAAGUUUACACUUGAGUAUCAAAAUUUUGCAUUCUUAUUACACAACCAUGAUGGUUUUUAAUUUACUACCCGUAAAUUAAUUAUCUCUGGUUUCCCAUGUAGGCGAAGAUGACUGCCAAAGAGUUUGAGGAGCUUGCUCUCGAUGGCCACAAUUACCCUACAUGGGCUAUGGACAUCAAGAUCACUCUUGCAUCCCGUGGGAUAGCGCAUGCAAUACAACCCCCGGAGACUCCUCUCCCGGCUGGGGCCACGCCGCUGACAGAAUAGCAGAACUAUGCUGCUUUAUUAAUCAUAAGGCACCAUAUUCAUCCAGAUCUCAAGUCUGAGUAUUUACAUGAGGAAUCUCCUAGUACUCUGUUCCUGGCACUCAAAAUGAGGUAUGAACAGCAGAAGGCAGUAGUCCUGCUCGAAGCACUUCAUGAUUGGACUCAUCUCCGUCUUCAGGAUUUCAAGUCUAUUGGUGAGUACACUCAUGCUGUUCAUAAGAUAUGUUCCAAACUGCGCUUUUGUGAGAAGGAACCUACUGAGGGGGAGAAGAUAGAGAAAACUUUGUCUACUAUGCUUCCUUCAGAUAGGAUCCUCCAACAGCAAUACCGUGCUCGUAACUACACUGUCUAUUCCGAGCUUAUUCACAUGUUACUUCAGGCUGAAAAGCAUGAUGAGCUACUUGCUAAGAAUGGCUCUCAGCGCCCAGUUGGGGCACAACCUUUACCUGAAGUUCAUCUGAAUGUUGCAAAUAGACAAAAGUUUAAUGGUACCUCUUGAGGUAAACAAUCCAAUUCCGAGCAUAAGCGAAAGCGCAAUGGGAACAGGAGAUCUAGACACCCAGGCAAGGGAAAAGGCGCUUCAAAGCCCGGGUUUGAUAAAUCUAAGCUUUGCAGCAAGUGUGGAUGCUACACGCAUUCUACUGAAAAGUGCACAAUGCCCAAGCAUCUGGUUAUGCUGUACCAGCAAUCUCAGGGACGCAAAGCACCUCAAGGGAAAAGGUUUGAAGCCAACUUCAACCUUCAUCCGGAUAGCGCAAAAGGAGCUGGUGAUUCGCACGAUGUCCCUCUUGGACCGAGCAACGCCAUGGUUCCUUACCUGCCUGAGGAUACUGCUGAAAUGGAGAACACGUUGAUUGAGUACAUCGCAAACAACAUGUUUGGCGACUUCAAUUAGUCCCUCAAUCUCCUUAGUGAUCCACUUAAUUAUGUCCAUUUGUGAUGAUUGUAAUAAGAACAUAAGUUUAUUGUUGUCUUUAUAUUGUAUUGUAUCAGCACAUUUGAUAUAAUAAAGAUUGUAUUCUGUAUAUUACUUUGAGGUUUUCUUAUUGAAAAUUCUUUGUUUUAUAUAGUUUUCUACGGGGACAAUCUGAUGGAAGAGGAAUUAUGCCUUGUGGACAAUGGUACCACAAACUCUAUACUGAGGGAGAUGAAAUAUUUCCUAACUCUGAAAAAGAUGAAUGGAGAUAUUCUAACUAUCGCUGGACGCGAUACAAUGAUUGUUGGUACUGGACGUGCCAUAUUCACCCUCCCAAGCGGUACAAAAAUGACGUUCGCAAACUGCACAUCGUUUGUCCAGAUCAACACCUCAUUGUUCAAUGUUCAUAUGAAAUGGGUGUUUGUUCUGCCCAAUCGCCAAAGGAUGUGGUAAACCUUGCCCAAAACAAACUUUCCAGAUUGCAGACCAUACCUUUCGGCGUCGCUCCUGAUUAGUCGAGCUAUCUCCCUGUUGCAUCUGUUUUUUUCCUUCAAAUCAAGUUGGUGUGCACCCUAUAGGCUGAUUUAACUGACAAGAGCCCUUUAGCAUCAAAGUGCCAAGCUACGAAGUCAUCGUGCUGCUCAAAAACAGGAAUGGGCAGAAUCAAAUUAGCAUCCUCGUGGAGAAAAGUUUGUCUGACCAGAUUCUUGUCCUAGGAGUUCAAAUUAGGGUUCAUCAGCUUCGAGACAAAAGUGACCAGAUUCUGCCCCGUCCAGUCAGCGGUUUCCUCGAAUGAUUUCGUGGCAACAAAGGAUCAGACCAGAUUCUUAUAUUCUCGCUAGAACCCACUCUUCAGAUAUAUCCUUCCUUGAUGAUUUCAAGCCCUCGAAGAAUACUUUGCCAGGUAUAGCUUAUCCCGGCUGUGGGGGCAGCAGAGAGGAUGUCGUCAUCAUGGUAGUAUUUGGCUCGUAACACUCUUGCACAAAGGGAUUCCGGAGCUUGGAGAAGCCACCACGCUUGCCUCGCAAGCAGUGCAAGGUUGAAAAAAUACAAGUCCCUGAAACCGAGACCCCCCACAAUCUUUGGGUAGCUUCAUCUUUUCCCAAUCACCCAGUGCAUUUGUUCUCGUCUUGUUGUUGCAACCUCCAAUACUUGCAUAUCAUGUUGUCGAGCUCAUCACAGAGGCCUUCGAUAAGGUCAAAACAACUCAUAGCAUAUGCUGGGAUUGCUUGGGCAACAGACUUCACUAAGGUCUCCUCCCCUGCAUGGAGAGGAAUCGUUCCAGCCAUCCUUGUAUUCUAGCCCACAACCGAACCUUUAUAUUCUCGAAGCACUGCAUGAUAGACCGACCAACACACUGUUGGGAAUGUUGCAUGGGAAACAAUUUUUUUCCUACGCUCAUCAAGAUCAAUCUAGGAGAUGGACAUCUACGAGAGGAGAGAUUGGAUCUACAUACCCUUGUAAAUCGUUAAGCGAAAGAGUAUACCACACGGUUGAUGUAGUCGUACUCUUCACGAUCCGAUCAUAGUCCAAUCCAAUCUAGGGACGAAUAGACGACACCUACAUGUUCAGCACACGUACGGCUCGAUGACGUCUACUCGUUCUUGAUCCAGGAAGCGAGGGAGGAGAAGUAGAUGGGAUCUCAACCAGCACAACGGCGUGGUGGAGCAAUCCCAUUAGGGCUUCGCCAAGCGCCUCUGGAACUACGAACGAGGAAGAACGAGAGAGAGAGAGAGAGAGAGAGAGAGAGAGAGAGAGAGAGAGAGGGCCACAGGGCGUGGGAAAUGUUGUGUCCAGCCUUUGCCCCUCCUCCCCACUAUAUAUAGGGGUGUUGGAGGGCUGGGGGCGCAACCCUUGCCCCUCCUCCAAGGAGGGGGCGCGGCCAAAGGGGAGGAGUGCCCUCCAAGCCAAGUGGAGGGCCCUUCCCCUUAGGGUUUUCCUUCCCCUAGGCGGAUGGGCCUUACGGGGUUGGUGCGCAUGGCCUAAAAUAAGGCUAGGAUGCCCCCCUUACAGCCCACGAAACCAUUUUAUGCUACACAUACGGGAUGCUAAUUCAAAGUACUUCCAUCGACCACUUCAACAAAUACAUCGGGUUGCAAGGCCUUGCCUCAACCCAUGAUAUUACCAAACUACUCACAGGUGGAGAUCGAAUCACACGAAGAACUCAUUGAAUAACACAUCAUGAAAGACCGAUUGCUUGAUAAUAUAUCUUACAAUGGAUGCUGGAUGUGAUGCGUGAUUACAAAGUAUGACUAGAUGACUGAGAACUAUGAUGGUGAUGAAGGUGGUUGCUAAGGUUGAUGGAGAUGACUGCUAUGAAGAUGACGAUGUGGCGACUUGUUCUAUUGCUCAUUUGGCGUCAGGCCUUUUAUAAAGGUUGUUCAGGUGGAUCAGACGCAUCAGUUGGCACACCAUACGACUAUCUGUAUGAGCGGGAUUGGUCAUAUGGAAUGUUGUCUUUUGCUUAGUUUCCUUUAGUGCGCCUCUCACUUGAUCUCCUCUUUACUCUUUUCCAUGUAUUGGCCUGAUUUCGUCCAUAAAUAGUCCAUUUCCCUUGGAAAUAAAAUAAAGAUCGGAUAUUUGGAAUCCUUUGUAUUCAUUAGUCAUUAGUUGCAAUAUCAAAGCGAAUAUCUUGGUUUUUAUGAAAUAUCUCAGUUUAAACUCAGGUUAGAGGGGUGUAAAAAUAACGCUCAUCACUGUUGUCACCCAACAGAGGAAACCGGUGCUCACACCCCUACCUGGGCGCACGCCACGUACUCGGAUUGUGUGAACAAAGUAGUCAGAACGAACGAAUGACGCAGACAUGCCGACCCGGCCUCACCCGAUGCAUGUAGAGCAGCGCACGAGAUGACACACAUAGACGGAACGAAAACAAUCGUAGAAAGGUGCCUCGAGCACGCCCGCGACCCAUGCUUCGUGGACCCUUGCGGGAAUCUGAUGGGUGCGUAACGUCCGUGAAGAUCAGACGACCGAGUGUGCUACAGUGAGGCAUCCGACGACGGGGAGGUAACUCGCGAGCGUCGAUGCCCCAGGAGGCGGGUACUUCAUCAUACUUUAUAGGAGUAACUAGACAAUACCCCGCACGUUGCAACAGGAUGGUAGUGUAAUAAACAAUUUGAAAGAGAGGGGCACACGGUAAGGAGGAAAAUAGUAAGAAAAUAAAAAUAAGAAAUGUUUUGCAGCAGAAGAUGGCUUAGAUUUAAUGUAACUCUGAAAUAGAGUAGUGAGGAUGACUCUCUCUCCACAUUGCUGCGGUAAUUUUGUUAAAAAAUGCGUAAGUAGUUGACAAAAAUAAUUAAAUCUAAUGAAAAGAAAGUAUAAGCUUAAAAAUCAAUAAAAGAAAGUCUCUAAAAAUAGAACAAAAACUUUUGAAUUACAGUUAAAAAUAUCAUUUCGAACAAAAAUGUGAAGGAUGCUAACAUGAAUAUAUGAUGUGGCAUUGUUACGUGCAUAGAGUAAUGCAAAAAUAAUCGUAAUUUAUAAGUUAAAUGCAUGACUCUUAUGUGGCAGAUUUUGCAUGGUUUAAUGGAAGAGAAGACUUUAAAUGCAUUGCUUAGUGCGACAUUGAGGUGGACACUUUGCAUACCGAGAGAACUGGAACCAAAAUAUAAGUUAGUGUCAUCCAGCAACAUCUAUCCAUCUCUAUGCCUAUGUUUAAUGUUACUACCUGCCCUCUUUAAGUUAAUUUAUUUAUACUUGGCAACUGCCAGGUAUUUCUGCUGCUAUGCUAGCUACUACAUACAACAGUAUAUUCAUCAUGUUCUCAUUGCUACUGAUAAAUUCUCCAAGCAAAGUAUUCAAUUGAAAUGACGACUAUAAACAACUAAAACUUACAAAUAUUCUUUGACCUCCUAGUGUUGAAUUAAUAAAUUUGAGCUUAUACUUAACAUUGUAGAUUGUUGCGUCCCCCUACGCUCUUGGGUUAUCAAAGAAUUCUCUAUAACUCAUCGUAUCAUACCCCAUUAGGGUGUAUGCCUCUAAGACGUCAACCCCAACUAUGCCACCGUGUCAAUGAUGGUCGACGAUCUGCCAGCAUCCCUCGCCGAGCUUGCGGCAGAUCGCAAGACUUCCUCACCAUGUUGUGGGAGCACCUCUAGCACGCACAUGAGCGUAUGAAGGCACAUGUGGACAAGCGUCGCAAGGACCGUGAAUUUUCCGUCGACAAGGGCGUCCUUGUAACACCCUCGAUGCGACUAUAUCUCACACGUGUCGAGGCAUAGAAGCAUAAUCGCAUUGAAGGCAUAUGUCGCAAGUCAGGCAAUCAUCACAAACAUCCCAUGUAAUAUAGAUGAAUAAAAGGGAUAACAUAGUUGGCUUACACUCGCCACGCUAAUCAAGUACAUAAAUAACAUACAUCAUCCAAACACUCAUGGCCCGAGAACGGCGCCAAAAUGAAAGAUAACCCAACAAGCGAUAUGGUCCCGAUCACCCCCAACAGGGCACCACUACUAAUCAUUAGGAAAGGAAACAUAGUAACGUUGAGAGUCCUCGUCGAACUCCCACUUGAGCUCGAGCGCGUCACCUGGAGCGGAAUCACCUGGACUUGCAUCUGGUGUAAUAGUAAUCUGUGAGCCACAGGGACUCAGCAAUCUCGCACCCUCGCGAUCAAGACUAUUUAAGCUUAUAGGUAAGGCAAGGUAAAUAUAUAUGUGGAGCUGCAGCAAGCGACUAGCAUAUAUGGUGGCUAACUUAUUCGCAAAAGAGAGCGAUAAGAGGAGGCAAAGCGCGAGCGAGAAACUAGAGGACAACCUGCGCAAGCAUUACUCCAACACCGUGUCCUCCCGAGACGUUCCGAUCAGACUCGGUACCUCGGUUCUUCAAGACACUUUGACAGGUUAAAACAAGACCAGCAACACCGCCCGAAUGUGCCGACAAAUCCCGAUAGGAGCUGCACAUAUCUCGUUCUCAGGGCACACUCAGAUUGUCCAAACUUCCGGUAGGCCAGCCCAGAGUUGCCCCUGGUGGCCACCGGCGGCUGACGAGGUGGACCAACACUCAGAGGAGCACUGGCCCGGGGGGGUUUAAAAUAAGAUGACCCUCGGGCUCCGGAAACCCAAGGGAAAAGGGGCUAGGUGGCAAAUGGUAAAACCAAGGUUGGGCAUUGCCGGAAAAGCUUUAAUCAAGGCGAACUAUCAAGGGGUUCCCAUUAUAACUGAAAGAACAUGCGGUGCCCCCAUGUUUGGUUUUGGUAAUUGAUGACAAUCUCUAUGGACUAAUGGUUGCCUUGAGUUAUAUUUGAAGGUUUUGUCCAUAGGCUUUUCUUGGAGUACAUGUGUUGGUUUCAAGGAGAGUUUGUGUCGACCAAGGUGCUAUUCAAGGAAUUACCUAAAGAUUGGUCUUGUGAGAGGUUGAUCAAGACUGAGUUAAAGAGUGAAUCAAGUUGAUCAACCCACAAAGCGUAGAAGAUGUACCGAGAGGGAUCAAGUGAUCCCAUGGUAUGGUUAGAAUUGUCAAUUACGCUUUGUGUACUAACCCAUGGUCUUCGUGAGAGUUCUUUGUGGGGUUAGGUUGCGGUGUGCAAGUUCAAGUGGAGCAUCACGAAGAAAUCAAAUGCUUGAAGCUUGCCGUCCUUUGUGGUGAUAAUGAGCUUGUGAAGAUGUGCGGAAGAGUGGCUCACCCAUAGUGGAGUAUGGGGGAGCAAUCAACUAGUCUUCAUCGAGUCAACACAAUCAAGAAAGGUGGUCCAACUUGAGGGAGUCAAGAUCGUCAUCAUCUAGCUCAAGUGGACCAUGUGCAAGGCAAAGGUUUGCCCUUGAUAGGUUUUCUAUUUUACCGGUCUCAUGAUGGUAGUUGGGAGACCGGGUUAUAGGAUCGAUUACCGUACUAUCAAGGGGGGCCCUCGAUGAGUUGCUUGAUCGUAUCGUUCGUUGAGAGCUCAAACCAUUGCAUCCUUGCAUCAUCUUUCUUGGUUCUUGUUUGGUUCUCUUUGUGAGUUCUAGAGCUUAUGGUCAUCUUGAUGACAAGCUCGAGUUCAUCGAAGACGGAGUUCACAUGCAUCUUCUAUGAUGUUUUCGAUGUUGGAGGUUUUGCCGGUUCUUCUUGGUUGGAGGUUUCACUCCUCUUUUUGUUGGCAUACCUCCCCUGCCUCUUCUUACUAUAACCAGUCGCUGUUUUGAUGCUACUCGUCGUCUUGUUUUCAACAAGCUUGAGUUUGCUCAAUUCGGAGCUCAUUUGCAGAAGUUAUGGCAGUUCUGGUUUUCUGGAGUGUGGUUUUUCUCCUGGACCCAGCGGUAGUACCGCGGGCCACAGCGGUAGUACCGCUGAGGCUCACUAAGCGGCAGUACCGCUCCUCGGAGCGGUAGUACCGCUUGAUGGCCUCAGCAGCAGUGCCUCUGCGGAUCCGUGCUCCUACCGCCUCGACACAGUGGUUGGAGCGGUAGUACGGCUGCAGUCCACUAAGCGGUAGUACCGCUCCUCGGAGCGGUAGUACCGCUUGCUGGGCUCAGCCGCAGUACCGCUGUGGCUUCGUGCUCCUUCCGCUUCGAUUCGAGUGUGCAUUUUCUCAUGUCGGGUUUUGUGGUACUAGCUGCGGUAGUAGUGGCGGUAGUGCUGCUUGUGAGCGGUAGUACCGCCCUACCUCCGCGGUAGUACCGCUCUGGGUCCCAGCCCCAGCCCUUUUCUUCUGGCGCGGCAGUACCGCUGAGGGGGAGCGGUAGUACCGCUUACGAGCGGUAGUACCGCCCUGCCUCCGCGGUAGUACCGCUCUCUGCGGGGCUGAGUGGGGGUUAACGGUUGGAUUUUCCCCCUCCUAUAAAAGGGGGUCUUCUUCCCCGUUGAACCUCAACCCUUGAGCUCGUGUUCUUCCCCCAUUGUUGACCUUCUUCGAGCUUGCUAACUCUCAAUCCCUCCAUGGAUUCUUGCUAGUUUUUGAGGGAAAAGAGAGAGGAGAUCUAGAUCCACAUUUCCACCAAUCACUUCCUCCUCUAUGUGAGGGGAACCCCUUGGAUCUAGAUCUUGGAGUUCUUGGUGUUCUCCUUCUUGUUCUUCCUCUCAUUUUCCUCCCUAGCAUUAGUUGCUUCGGUGGGAUUUGAGAGAGAAGGACUUGGGCACUCCGUGUGCCCUUGCCAUUGCAUUUGGUGCAUCGGUUUGAGUUCUCCACGUGAUACGUGGAAGUUACAAGUUGAGAAGCUUAUUACUCUUGGGUGCUUGGUACCCUUGAGCUUGUUCCUCUUGGGUGCUUGGGCGCCCUAGACGGUUGUUGGUGUUCGGAGCUCAAUCAUCGUGGUGCAAAGCUCUGGGCAAGCGUCGGGGUCUCCAAUUAGGUUGUGGAGAUCGCCCCGAGCAAUUUGACGGGUACCGGUGACCGCCCCCAAGGGUUGCCAAAGUGUACGGGUUCGGUGACCGCCCCCAAGGGUUGCCAUUUGUACGGGUUCGGUGACCGCCCUCAAGGGUCCCUUAGUGAAAUCACGGCAUCUUGCAUUGUGCGAGAGCGUGAGGAGAUUACGGUGGCCCUAGUGGCUUCUUGGAGAGCAUUGUGCCUCCACACCGCUCCAAACGGAGAUUAGCAUCCGCAAGGGUGUGAACUUCGGGAUACAUCGUCGUCUCCUUGUGCCUCGGUUAUCUCUUACCCGAGCCCUUUACUUAUGCACUUUACUUUGUGAUAGCCAUAUUGUUUCUUGUCAUAUAUCUUGCUAUCACAUAGUUUCUUAUCUUUCUUAGCAUAAGUUGUUGGUGCACAUAGGUGAGCCUAGUUGUUUUAGGUUUUGUGCUUGGCAAAUUAACCGCUAGGUUUAUUCCGCAUUUGUUCAAGCCUAAACCGUAAUUAUUUUAAAACGCCUAUUCACCCCCCUCUAGGCAACAUCCACGAUCUUUCAAUAACCCAACCGCGUAAGGAACGCAAAAUCCGGGAACAUAACACCGAUAUGACGGAAACUAGGGCGGCAAGAGUGGAACAAAACACUAGGCGAGAGGCCGAGCCUUCCACCCUUUACCAAGUAUAUAGAUGCAUUAAGAUAACAUCGCAAUAUAAUGAUAUCCCAACAAGUAAAUAAAUGUUCCAACAAGGAACGGUCUCCAAUCUUCACCUGCAACUAGCAACGCUAUAAGAGGGGCUGAGCAAAGCGGUAACAUAGCCAAUCAAUGGUUUGCUAGGACAUGGUGGGUUAGAGGUUCGACAUGGCAAUUUGGGAGGCUUGAAAGCAAAUGGUAGGCAUCGUAGCAUUGGCAUAGCAAAAGAGCGAGCAAACUAGCAUAGCAAAGAUAGUAGUGAUUUCGAGGGUAUGAUCAUCUUGCCUGCAAAGCUGUCAGAGUUGACUGGAUCCUCGAAAGCAAACUCAAUGGGCUCCUCGUUAGUGAACUCGUCUCCCGGCUCUACCCAAACAAGACAAACAAGCAACAAGGAUACAAUCAACCACAUGCAAGGAUCAAACAAUAUGAUGCAAUGAUGAUAUGCUAUGCGGGAUGCGAUGCGGGAUGCAUAUGCAAGAUGUGACAAGGAGUGCAUGAACCUGGCCUCAACUUGGAAAUCCAAAUGUGCCACUGGAAAGAUGAGAUGAAAUCACUUGAAAACGAUAUAAAGAACGCCGGAAUCGGAGUUACGGUUUGGAAAUGGCAAGCGAUUCAAGUAUGACACCGGUCUGCGAUUUACAGCAAGUAGCCAUCUAAAUGCAAUGAGAUGAACAUGCUACAGCACCCAAACAUGACAACAAAAUACAUGGCAGGGAUGCAUUCAAGAUGCUUAACAAAAGUCUAGCACUGAGCUACGGCCAAUUCAUUCAUUAACAGGUUCAAACAAGCAUGGCAAAACUGCACAUGGCAAACAGAUCUCAGACUUAGUGAAAUUAACACUUGUCUGGAAUUUCAGACCAAGUAGCCCACUUCGGAGCAACAAAACAACAUGCUACAGGACCUGAACAUGACAAAGUAAAACAUGGCAUGGAGCUACUCAAAUAGCUUAACAAAAGUCCCUUAGUGACCUUGAGCCAAAAGGGAUCAGAAAAUAUACUAACAAGCAUGUGAAACUAGCAAAAGCAUAAUCAGUUUUCAGACUUAGUGAAAACUGGCACAUGCUGAAACAUAAUUCAAGUAGGCAUGUUAACGAGCUCGAUGCACUCACUAUGGUGCAAGUCAUGACAAGAUAAGCAUACAUCUAUCAAGAACACACAAAACGCAAGCUAGACAUGGCAAGAACAAUGGCAUAGCAUGCACGGACCAACUACAACAUCAUCGGCAAAAUUGCAAACAAAUUGACAAUCUGCCCAGAUUCACAAAGUAGCAAAAGUAGAACUCGAUUGACUCAAGCUAGGGUGCUCCAUAAUUGUAAACAAAGACAUGGAUGGAUAGAGCACUACAAGAUUAAUAAAACAUCCUUACUGAUCAUCCUCAAAAGAGGCAAGGAUCUCUCGGAAACAACGUGAACAUAUGACAACAUGAGAUAAACAGGUCAAGGACUUAGUGGAAAUGCUAAGUCCCUGAAAACAGAAUUACCAAGUGCCUCACUUUGCAAGCUUGCACUAGGCACCACACACAUCACAAAAAUACAUGGGUUGCACCUCUGGAAAGAUGACAAAACCCUUAACAAAACAUAUGUAGAGCAUCGGGGCAUAACAUGCACACAAUAAUCAUGGCAAAAAUGACAAAAACCUAAAUGGAGUAGCAGAUCUGACAAUUAUCUCAAGUAGCACUCUUCUAAGAGCAUUUCGGGCAUCAAGAUGAACUCAAAUGAAAAUGAUGCAAUGGAAUGAAAUGAUGUACUCUCUGAGACGAACAUUUUGAUAUGCUAUAUGCAUGAAUCGGAGCUACGGAUGCAAAGUUACGGAGCUAUGAACAGGAGCAUAUGGAUUAGGGUUUCGGGGCAAAAGUCAACCCGAGGAGAUAUUUUCAGAUCUGGAUCUCGCCGGAGUUACUGUUCAUGCACGGACUUCGAGGAUCGCUGGGGGAACUUGGAGCUCGCUGGAGUUCAUGGAGGAGGCCGACAGGAGGACGAGAAGACGUCCGGGGCGGCGGUGGCGAUGCCGGUGCGGCGGGGCGGNNNNNNNNNNNNNNNNNNNNNNNNNNNNNNNNNNNNNNNNNNNNNNNNNNNNNNNNNNNNNNNNNNNNNNNNNNNNNNNNNNNNNNNNNNNNNNNNNNNNNNNNNNNNNNNNNNNNNNNNNNNNNNNNNNNNNNNNNNNNNNNNNNNNNNNNNNNNNNNNNNNNNNNNNNNNNNNNNNNNNNNNNNNNNNNNNNNNNNNNNNNNNNNNNNNNNNNNNNNNNNNNNNNNNNNNNNNNNNNNNNNNNNNNNNNNNNNNNNNNNNNNNNNNNNNNNNNNNNNNNNNNNNNNNNNNNNNNNCAAUGACGGGGAGGCGGCGGAGCAGCGAGCGCGGUCGGCGGGCGAGGCGGCGGAGAACCGGGUCGCGGGCCCGAUUAGCGGCGCGGGAGGGCCCGCGGCGGAGGCGGACAGAGGCGAUGUGGGGCGCGGGGCGUGGCCAAUGGCGUGGCGACACGUGGCGGCAGCGCGGAGCUUCAGACGUGUUUGGCGCCGUCCGGACGUGUCCGGCGGCGGCGGAUCUGGGAUUUUGGGGUUAGGGACGAGGGGGAUCCGGAUUUCGGGGAAGGGGUCUAUUUAUAGGCAUAGAGGAAGCUAUGAGAGUCCGAAUGAGGUGCGGUUUUUGGCCACGCGAUCAUGAUCGAACGCUCUAGAUGAUGGAGUAGGUUUAGGUGGGUUUUGGGCCAAAUUGGAGGGGUGUUGGGCUGCAACACACACGAGGCCUUUUCGGUCCCUCGGUUAACCGUUGGAGUAUCAAACGAAGUCCAAAUGAUACGAAACUUGACAGGCGGUCUAUCGGUAGUAACCCAAGGCCACUUGGCAAGUCUCGGUCCAAUCCAGAAAUGUUUAAUCCCCACACACGAAAGAAAGCUAGAAAUGACCACCGGAGGAGAACGAAGCGCCGGAAUGCAAAACGGACAACGGGGAAAAUGCUCGAAUGCAUGAGAUGAACACGUAUGCAAAUGCAAUGCACAUGAUGACAUGAUAUGAGAUGCAUGACAACGAUAACAACACACGGAGACAAAAACCCGAACCCGAGAAAAUAAAACAACUUAACGCCGGAAACGACAAGAGUUGGAGUACAAAUUGGGUAAGUUAUAUCCGGGGUGUUACAACACUCCACCACUACGAAAGGAUCUCGUCCCGAGAUCUCGGACUAAAAGAACGCCGGGUACUCAGAACGGAGGUGAUCCUCACGUUCCCAGGUAGCUUCACGGUCGGAAUGGUGUGACCACUUGACUUUGAGAAAUUUGAUUGACUUGUUGCGAGUCUUGCGUUCAGUCUCUUCAAGAAUAGCAACUGGGUGCUCAUGAUAGGAGAGAUCUUCUUGGAGCUCAAUGUCCUCGAAGUUGACGGUGCGGUUAGGAGUCUUGAAGCACUUUCGGAGCUGAGAGACAUGGAACACAUCAUGAACAUUUGCAAAGUUUGAAGGAAGCUCGAGUUGAUAGGCGAGAUCGCCUUUCUUGCUGACAAUCUUGAAAGGUCCCACGUAUCUAGGGGCAAGCUUCCCUUUGAUACCGAAAUGACGAGUGCCUUUCAUAGGAGAGACACGUAGGUAAACAUGAUCUCCGAUCUCGAAAGCCAAAUCAUGGUGCUUACUAUCAUAGUAGCUCUUCUGGCGGGAUUGGGCUGCUUUGAGGUUAUCACGAAUGACUUUGCACAUUUCCUCUGCCUCUGUGAUUAAGUCAUUUCCAAGCAGCUGACGUUCACCGGUUUCAGACCAGUUGAGAGGGGUACGACACUUCCUGCCAUACAGAAUUUCAAAUGGGGCCUUGCCCGAACUUGCUUGAAAACUGUUGUUGUAGGAGAAUUCAGCAUAAGGAAGACAAUCCUCCCACUUCAUGCCGAAGGAGAUCACACAAGCCCUGAGCAUAUCUUCAAGAAUCUGGUUGACACGCUCGACUUGACCGCUAGUUUGAGGGUGGAAAGUUGUGCUGAAGCGGAUGUUGGUGCCCAUGGCCUUCUGAAAAGAAUCCCAAAACUUGGAGGUAAAGAUGCUGCCACGGUCUGAAGAUAUCACUUGAGGGAUACCGUGCAGAGAGACAAUUCGAGAGGUAUAGAGUUUCGCCAAUUGAGCUGCAGUGAUCGACUCCUUGAUAGGCAGAAAAUGAGCCACUUUGGUGAGUUUGUCGAUGACAACGAAUAUAUCAUCAUUGCCACGUUUGGACUUUGGAAACCCAGUCACGAAGUCCAUUUCAAUGUGGUCAAACUUCCAUUCUAGAAUGGCAAGAGGUUGGAGGAGACCUGCUGGCCUUUGGUGUUCUGCCUUCACUCUUUUGUAGACAUCACAUUCAUUCACGAAUUGAGCAAUCUCGCGCUUCAUUUGAGUCCACCAAUAAGCCUGCUUGAGGUCCUGAUACAUCUUCGUGCUCCCAGGGUGGAUGGAGAGGAGAGAAUUAUGAGCCUUGUUCAUGAUCACUUUACGAAGUUCACCUUUGGGCACGACAAUACGAUCUUCGAAGAAGAGAGUAUCCUUGUCAUCAAGGCGGUAGCACUUGUACUUGGGUUGACUCUUGGCAAUCCCAAUCUUUACCUUUUUCACCAUAGCAUCAAGAAGCCGGGCUUGGCGAAUCUGGUCUUCCAAGGUAGGAGAGACUUGAAGGUUGGUGAGGAAACCUUGAGGAACAAUUUGCAGAUUAAGUUUGUGGAAAGCUUCACAAAGCUCGGGUUGAUAAGGCUUAAGAAUCAGACUGUUGCAAUAAGCCUUUCUGCUCAAUGCGUCAGCAAUCACAUUGGCCUUGCCUGGAGUAUACUCGAUACUCGGAUUAUACUCUUGAAUCAUUUCGACCCAUCGAGUUUGCCUGAGGUUGAGAUUAGGCUGAGUGAAGAUGUACUUGAGACUCUUGUGAUCAGUGAAAAUGUCCACUUUUCUUCCCAAUAGAAGAUGUCUCCAAGUCAAAAGAGCAUGCACAACUGCCGCCAACUCGAGAUCAUGAGUGGGGUAGUUCUUCUCAUUAGGCUUCAAUUGGCGAGAGGUAUAAGCAACAACUUUCUUCUCUUGCAUCAACACUGCGCCAAGACCUUGGAGAGAGGCAUCACAAAAGACCUCGUACGGUUUGGAUUCAUCAGGCGGAGUCAGAACUGGAGCCGUGAUCAAUUUCUCUUUCAAAGUGUUGAAAGCAAUGUCACACUCCGGAGACCAAACGUACUUGACGUGCUUCUGGAGAAGAUUUGAGAGAGGCUUCGUGAUCUUAGAAAAGUUUUCAACGAAUCUUCGGCAAUAGCUUGCGAGACCGAGGAAGCUGCGGAGUUGCUUCACGUUCCGAGGAGGUUUCCAAUUCACAAUUGCAGACACCUUCUCAGGAUUCACGGCAAUGCCCUUGGCAGAGAUGAUAUGACCAAGAUAAAGAACCUCAUCGAGCCAAAAUUCACACUUGGAGAACUUGGCGUAGAACUUGUGUUCCCUGAGCUUAUCAAGCACCAAACGCAAGUGCUUGGCAUAAUCUUCCUUGUUCUUCGAGAAAACCAGAAUGUCGUCGAGAUAGACCAAAACGAAGUCAUUGGUGUAGGCGUUGAAGAUGAAGUUCAUCAUGCGAGAGAACGUCGGAGGAGCGUUGACGAGGCCAAAAGACAUGACAGUGUAUUCAUAUGAACCAUAGCUUGUUCUGAAAACCGUCUUGGGAAUAUCUUGCUCACGGAUUCGAAUCUGAUGAUAACCCAUAAGGAGAUCAAGCUUGGAGAAUACUUGGGCACCUUUGAGUUGUUCGAACAGCUCAUUGAUGUUAGGAACUGGGUAUUUGUUCUUGAUGGUCUUCUUGUUCAAUGGACGGUAAUCAACACAAAGUCGGUCCAUUCCAUCCUUCUUCUUCACAAAAAGAACACCACAACCCCACGGAGAAGAACUAGGCCGGACGAGACCCAUUUUCUCUUGAAUAUCGAGUUGCUUCUUCAGCUCCUUCAACUCUUCAGGUCCGAGCUUGUAAGGACGCUUGCACACAGGUUCCGUAUCGGGCUCAAGAUCAAUUACAAAUUCAACUGGACGGUGCGGAGGCAUUCCUGGAAGAUCUUCUGGAAAGACGUCUUGAUAUUCGCAAACGACUGGAAUUUGCGAGAUAGCAUCGAGUUCACCCUUCUCAUUGAGAGAAAACAGACGGAUUAUCCCGAGCGGCAAAGACAAUUACAUCCUCAGACGAAUGAGUCAAUUGAAUCUGCCUGGCUGCACAAUCAAGCUGAGCCUUGUGCUUAGAAAGCCAAUCCAUCCCGAGAAUAAGAUCAAUAUCCGAGUUACUAAGAACCAUUGGAGAGGACAAGAACUUAUAGUCACCAAAAGUGAUUGUAACAUCCGGAACACAUACUCGAGAUGUCAUUUGACGGGCCGGAGAAACAAUAGCCAAUGGUUUCGACAACACUUGAGUAACAAAAUCAUGCUUAGAUGCAAAAGGUCUCGACAUGAAAUAAUGCAAUGCACCAGUGUCAAAAAGAACUCUUGCAGGAAUAUCGUUAAUAGGAAGGUUACCCAUGAUGACAUCUGAUGAAUCCUCUACCUGAGCUGCAUUCACCAUAUUGACCUUGGCGUGCUUGGGGUUAUGCUUGACCACAGCUGUACUUGCCGAUCUGACAGGAGGAGGAGGAGGAAGACGCCUCUGGUUGAAACACUUGUUGGCAUAGUGACCCUUCUCUUGGCACUUGUUGCACGUGACCUCUGAAAGCGGACGGUGGUACGGAGCACUCGAUCUUGGAGGUUGAGACGAAGUCUUGUUUUGAAAGCCAGGGUUGGGUGGGUGGGAAGAACCACUGCCACCUUUGCUCUUCUGCUGAUACGGCUGACGGAACGGAGGAGGAGGAAACCAAUACUUCUGCUGCUUGGCCACUUGAGUAGAGGAAGAAGGAGUAACAUCUCUGACUCGCUUCUUGGAAGCAUCACACCUCAACUGAGCGGCCUCUUGCUUCAAUGCCAUGUUGUAGAACUCAUCGUACCUCAAGGGUUCAAAGAGAACAAGAGCGAGCUGAAUUUCUUCUCUGAGACCACCCCUGAACUGGUAUAUCAUGCUCUUCUCAUCAGGGACGUCCUGCUUGGCAAAGCGGGCGAGCUUCUGGAACAACUUGUUGUAGUCAUAGACAGACAAAGAGCCUUGCUUCAGGUUGCGGAAUUCCUCACGCUUACUUUCAACCACGCUCUGAGGGAUGUGAUGAGCUCGGAAAUCUUGACGGAAUUCAUCCCAAGUGAUCACACGUCCACCUCUGGAAUCCUUGUACUGCUGGAACCAUUCUGCAGCUUGAUCUUUGAGUUGGAAGGAAGCGAACUUGACAAAGUCCUCAAGCCUGACGUUACUGCACUCGAAAUGCUUGCACAGAUCCACGAGCCAAUCGUCAACAUCGGUUGCCUCAACACAAUUGCUGAAAGUCUUUGGCCCAUUAGCAAGGAACUGGUUGAGUGUAGCAAAGUGAUUCUGAUUGUUGCCUUGAUUCCCUUGGUUGCCAUGAUUGCGCUCUUGGAGAAUUUGCAUGAUCAACUAUGUGUUUGCAUUGGUUGCGGCCAUCACAGCUUGCCAUGCCUCCGGAGGAGGUGGAGGUGGUGGCGGAUCAGGAUUCGGAGUCGUGCGCGUUGGAUGAGCCAUCCUGAAGAGGUUGACAUCCAUUAGCACAUUGAUAAACAAAAUAUUGAAGCUGAAUCCAACGGAAUGAAAAUUGCAACAUAUGGUCUUCACAUCUGAACAAAAUGAACGAAUGCAUUCCUCUUGAAAUGGUCACAUAUCCAUAAAUGAGAAGCCACGUAGAAUUAAGGUAGAGAAAUAAAUCAACAAGGUACGGAUCAAGAACGAAUAAUCGGUAAGAAAUCCCAAUCUCAAACCAAUAUCCGUGGAAGAAGAACUAGAGCUACGAGAAUUCCCACCUAUGAAACUCCCGAACCUUUCCGGUUAUGCAAUCAGGUGUUGGGGAUACAGGGGAAGCAUAAUAUCUCACCCAAACUAGCAAAUCCUACAUCCAGCUGUAUCCAUCCUACAACACAUAACCGAGAAAAACUUUGGAAACCAUCUACCUCAACCUUCGAAAAGCAUCCGUUAUACAAGUUAUGGCGAUACUCCCGAACUCCCGUCCCAGUACUGGGUGGCGUUGAGGUUAUCUCACCAACGAACUGCAUAAACGAGAUUUUCGAUGUCGGCGUACUAAACUCAGGUAUUCCAGAAUUGCAACGAUAAAAUUAUGAUGACAACACCUCAGAGCUCAACUCCCCGGGACACUUCCACUAAACCCCUGACAGGAGGCACCAAGACAAUGUUCUCAUCAUAAAACCAUCGGAACGAUUCCAAGAUACCCGCGUGAUCCUAAAAUUUUUUUAGUGAAAUUUGAGAAGAGAAGAGUCAAAACUCUACGUCAGGAUGCCUUACCAGAGCGAUGAGGAGACUGGGAAGUAAAAAGAAUUCCUAAACUCUCCGAUAUAUAAUUCCUAAAUGACUCAAAACAUUUUUCUAGACACAACUCGGCUGCUAAAAACAAUCAAGCAAUGGGGCUCCUAAGGUCGGGGAAGGCUUUGAUUACCAACUUGUAACACCCUCGAUGCGACUAUAUCUCACACGUGUCGAGGCACGACUUAGAGGCAUAAUCGCAUUGAAGGCAUAUGUCGCAAGUCAGGCAAUCAUCACAAACAUCCCAUGUAAUAUAGAUGAAUAAAAGGGAUAACAUAGUUGGCUUACACUCGCCACGUCAAUCAAGUACAUAAAUAACAUACAUCAUCCAAACACUCAUGGCCCGACUACGGCGCCAAAAUGAAAGAUAACCCAACAAGCAACAUGGUCCCGAUCACCCCCAACGGGGCACCACUACUGAUCAUCAGGAAAGGAAACAUAGUAAGUUGAGAGUCCUCGUCGAACUCCCACUUGAGCUCGAGCGCGUCACCAGGAGCGGAAUCACCUGGACCUGCAUCUGGUGUAAUAGUAAUCUGUGAGCCACAGGGACUCAGCAAUCUCGCACCCUCGCGAUCAAGACUAUUUAAGCUUAUAGGUAAGGCAAGGUAAAUAUAUAUGUGGAGCUGCAGCAAGCGACUAGCAUAUAUGGUGGCUAACUUAUUCGCAAAAGAGAGCGAUAAGAGGAGGCAAAGCGCGAGCGAGAAACUAGAGGACAACCUGCGCAAGCAUUACUCCAACACCGUGUCCACUUCCCGGACUCCGCCGAGAAGAGGCCAUCACGGUAACACACUCGGUUGAUUCAUUUUAAUUAAGUUAAGGUUCAAGUUAUCUACAACCGGACAUUAACAAAUUCCCAUCUGCCCAUAACCGCGGGCACGGCUUUCGAAAGUUCAAAUCCCUGCAGGGGAGUCCCAACUUAGCCCAUGACAAGCUCUCACGGUCAACGAAGGAAUAGACCUCCUCCCGAGACGUUCCGAUCAGACUCGGUACCUCGGUUCUUCAAGACACUUUGACAGGUUAAAACAAGACCAGCAACAUCGCCCGAAUGUGCCGACAAAUCCCGAUAGGAGCUGCACAUAUCUCGUUCUCAGGGCACACUCAGAUUGUCCAAACUUCCGGUAGGCCAGCCCAGAGUUGCCCCUGGUGGCCACCGGCGGCUGACGAGGUGGACCAACACUCAGAGGAGCACUGGCCCGGGGGGGUUUAAAAUAAGAUGACCCUCGGGCUCCGGAAACCCAAGGGGAAAGGGGCUAGGUGGCAAAUGGUAAAACCAAGGUUGGGCAUUGCUGGAAAAGCUUUAAUCAAGGCAAACUAUCAAGGGGUUCCCAUUAUAACCCAACCGCGUAAGGAACGCAAAAUCCGGGAAACUAGGGCGGCAAGAGUGGAACAAAACACUAGGCGAGAGGCCGAGCCUUCCACCCUUUACCAAGUAUAUAGAUGCAUUAAGAUAACAUCGCAAUAUAAUGAUAUCCCAACAAGUAAAUAAAUGUUCCAACAAGGAACGGUCUCCAAUCUUCACCUGCAACUAGCAACGCUAUAAGAGGGGCUGAGCAAAGCGGUAACAUAGCCAAUCAAUGGUUUGCUAGGACAUGGUGGGUUAGAGGUUUGACAUGGCAAUUUGGGAGGCUUGAAAGCAAAUGGUAGGCAUCGUAGCAUUGGCAUAGCAAAAGAGCGAGCAAACUAGCAUAGCAAAGAUAGUAGUGAUUUCGAGGGUAUGAUCAUCUUGCCUGCAAAGCUAUCAGAGUUGACUGGAUCCUCGAAAGCAAACUCAACGGGCUCCUCGUUAGUGAACUCGUCUCCCGGCUCUACCCAAACAAGACAAACAAGCAACAAGGAUACAAUCAACCACGUGCAAGGAUCAAACAAUAUGAUGCAAUGAUGAUAUGCUAUGCGGGAUGCGAUGCGGGAUGCAUAUGCAAGAUGUGACAAGGAGUGCAUGAACCUGGCCUCAACUUGGAAAUCCAAAUGUGCCACUGGAAAGAUGAGAUGAAAUCGCUUGAAAACGAUAUAAAGAACGCCGGAAUCGGAGUUACGGUUUGGAAAUGGCAAGCGAUUCAAGUAUGACACCGGUCUGCGAUUUACAGCAAGUAGCCAUCUAAAUGCAAUGAGAUGAACAUGCUACAGCACCCAAACAUGACAACAAAAUACAUGGCAGGGAUGCAUUCAAGAUGCUUAACAAAAGUCUAGCACUGAGCUACGGCCAAUUCAUUCAUUAACAGGUUCAAACAAGCAUGGCAAAACUGCAUAUGGCAAACAGAUCUCAGACUUAGUGAAAUUAACACUUGUCUGGAAUUUCAGACCAAGUAGCCCACUUCGGAGCAACAAAACAACAUGCUACAGGACCUGAACAUGACAAAGUAAAACAUGGCAUGGAGUUACUCAAAUAGCUUAACAAAAGUCCCUUAGUGACCUUGAGCCAAAAGGGAUCAGAAAAUAUACUAACAAGCAUGUGAAACUAGCAAAAGCAUAAUCAGUUUUCAGACUUAGUGAAAACUGGCACAUGGUGAAACAUAAUUCAAGUAGGCAUGUUAACGAGCUCGAUGCACUCACUAUGGUGCAAGUCAUGACAAGAUAAGCAUACAUCUAUCAAGAACACACAAAAUGCAAGCUAGACAUGGCAAGAACAAUGGCAUAGCAUGCACGGACCAACUACAACAUCAUCGGCAAAAUUGCAAACAAAUUGACAAUCUGCCUAGAUUCACAAAGUAGAAAAGUAGAGCUCGAUUGACUCAAGCUAGGGUGCUCCAUAAUUGUAAACAAAGACAUGGAUGGAUAGAGCACUGCAAUAUUAAUAAAACAUCCUUACUGAUCAUCCUCAAAAGAGGCACGGAUCUCUCGGAAACAACGUGAACAUAUGACAACAUGCGAUAAACAGGUCAAGGACUUAGUGGAAAUGCUAAGUCCCUGAAAACAGAAUUACCAAGUGCCUCACUUUGCAAGCUUGCACUAGGCACCACACACAUCACAAAAAUACAUGGGUUGCACCUCUGGAAAGAUGACAAAACCCUUAACAAAACAUAUGUAGAGCAUCGGGGCAUAACAUGCACACAAUAAUCAUGGCAAAAAUGACAAAAACCUAAAUGGAGUAGCAGAUCUGAUAAUUAUCUCAAGUAGCCCUCUUCUAACAGCAUUUCGGGCAUCAAGAUGAACUCAAAUGAAAAUGAUGCAAUGGAAUGAAAUGAUGUACUCUCUGAGACGAACAUUUUGAUAUGCUAUAUGCAUGAAUCGGAGCUAUGGAUGCAAAGUUACGGAGCUAUGAGCAUGAGCAUAUGGAUUAGGGUUUCGGGGCAAAAGUCAACCCGAGGAGAUAUUUUCAGAUCUGGAUCUCGCCGGAGUUACUGUUCAUGCACGGACUUCGAGGAUAGCCGGGGGAACUUGGAGCUCGCCGGAGUUCGUGGAGGAGGCCGGCCGAAGGACGGGAAGACGUCCGGGGCGGCGGUGACGAUGCCGGUGCGGCGGGUGGCGUUGCGGGGCGCCGGCGACCCGAGCUCGGCGCGGCGUCCGGUGGUGGCGUGNNNNNNNNNNNNNNNNNNNNNNNNNNNNNNNNNNNNNNNNNNNNNNNNNNNNNNNNNNNNNNNNNNNNNNNNNNNNNNNNNNNNNNNNNNNNNNNNNNNNNNNNNNNNNNNNNNNNNNNNNNNNNNNNNNNNNNNNNNNNNNNNNNNNNNNNNNNNNNNNNNNNNNNNNNNNNNNNNNNNNNNNNNNNNNNNNNNNNNNNNNNNNNNNNNNNNNNNNNNNNNNNNNNNNNNNNNNNNNNNNNNNNNNNNNNNNNNNNNNNNNNNNNNNNNNNNNNNNNNNNNNNNNNNNNNNNNNNNNNNNNNNNNNNNNNNNNNNNNNNNNNNNNNNNNNNNNNNNNNNNNNNNNNCCGAUUAGCGGCGCGGGAGGGCCCGCGGCGGAGGCGGACAGAGGCGAUGUGGGGCGCGGGGCGUGGCCAACGGCGUGGCGACACGUGGUGGCGGCGCGGAGCUUCGGACGUGUCCGGCGCCGUCCGGACGUGUCCGGCGGCGGCGGAUCUGGGAUUUUGGGGUUAGGGACGAGGGGGAUCCAGAUUUCGGGGAAGGGGUCUAUUUAUAGGCAUAGAGGGAGCUAGGAGAGUCCGAAUGAGGUGUGGUUUUUGGCCACGCGAUCGUGAUCGAACGCUCUAAAUGAUGGAGCAGGUUUAGGUGGGUUUUAGGCCAAAUUGGAGGGGUGUUGGACUGCAACACACACGAGUCCUUUUCGGUCCCUCGGUUAACCGUUGGAGUAUCAAACGAAGUCCAAAUGAUAAGAAACUUGACAGGCGGUCUACCGGUAGUAACCCAAGGCCGCUUGGCAAGUCUCGGUCCAAUCCGGAAAUGUUUAAUCCCCACACACGAAAGAAAGCUAGAAAUGACCACCGGAGGAGAACGAAACGCCGGAAUGCAAAACGGACAACGGGGAAAUGCUCGAAUGCAUAAGAUGAACACGUAUGCAAAUGCAAUGCACAUGAUGACAUGAUAUGAGAUGCAUGACAACGAUAACAACACACGGAGACAAAACCCGAACCCGAGAAAAUAAAAUAACUUAACGUCAGAAAUGACAAGAGUUGGAGUACAAAUUGGUUAAGUUAUAUUCAGGGUGUUACAGUCCUUCUCAAGCUCCAACCCUAUGCACAAUCUUCGUUGGUGAAUCAUCCCUACGUCAAGUUCACCCUCAAGUACUUUGGACUGUUCAAAAACACCGAACGCAUCGACAAGGCGGCGUACAUGCUCGAUCUUCCUCUGACAAGCUUGAUCCAUACGGUCUCCCAUGUCUCGUAGCUCAAGCCCUUCAUCGCCAAUUAGUCGUUGGUGUUCACCGAGCUACCUGAUCCAGUGGAUUUGGCAGCAAGUCUCCAUCUCCCUAAAGUUAUUCUAGCACACCGCAUGGUCAAGAAAGGAAAUGCUGCUCAUCAUACUGGAGAUGGGUAGUGCAGAAGCCGUGUCGAUGCUGAAGAUGCAUUCGGAGGAUCAGUCUCAAUACCGAGUGCACGUAGAAGAGAUUCGUAGGGUAGCAGUUGCUGACCCCAGGGAGAUUUUUUUACUCUCAUUAGUUGCUGGCGGAAUAAAGUUAGCCGCAACAAGCCUACCUCAGCUGGCCCAAAACCCGUCGAGUUCCACCAGAGAGCCAAAUGAUAGAAGCAGCUGGGAUCUCAUCUGGAAACUGAAAGUUGCUGGAAAAGUGCGAAUAUUUGGUUGGCGAGUGGCCACAAAUACUCUAGCUACAAAAAAAACAAGUGGAAAAGAACCAUUGAACUGGAUGCCACUUGCUGCAUUUGUGGUAACAGUAUUGAGGACGAACACCAUGCAGUGGUCAUGUGCACAAAAAGUAGAGCUCUCAGGUGUGCUAUGAGGGAAGUGUGGAAUUUACCUGCUGAAAAGAAUGGGGAGGAUUGGCUUCAGACUUUGCUGGAUACAAAAAGUGAAGAAGGUCGAUCGUGCCAAGAUCCUGAUGCUUCUUUGGAGGAGUUGGUACCUUAGAGAAGAUAGCCUGCGAAACAACGGAAGGGAGACAAUUAGCAGUUCCAUGCAGUUCCUGGUAAAGUACGACAAGGAACUAAGAACUGCAGCAGAGGCAAGGGAUGCAACUGAGGGCAAGGAAAAAAAAUGAAAGAAGGGAGUUCAGAAAGCCGUAGUACUGAAUUACCUGCGGCCAAAUGGAUGCCGCCGCCGCGAGAAGUGGCCAAAAUCUACGACCCUUGAUGCUCUCUGAAUGUACCGUCCCCCCACCUGAGUAGUUUGUUUCUACUCCAGAUCUCAAAAAAAAAAAGAAUAAAGUUAGCCAUGCGCUUGCAGCGUAUGGUCAUUGCACUCCCCGUACCACGGUCUGGCUGUGUUAGAGGCUGGACUCUAUUGUAAACUUGUCUAAGCCUGAUAUGCUUCUUUGAGCAAUGAAAUCGUCCUUUGCCCCGCAAAAAAAAAGAAGAAAAGAAAUGCCGCGGUUGCUCAACGAAAGGGAUGUCGGACUACAAUACCUGAAGAUCACUCCGUUUGGGAAGAAUAUAAUAUCCUAUGUGAACGAUUUUCAGUCGUGCCAAUUUUAUAUACCUAGAUUGUUGAUCCCUACUACUUUCAAUUCUCUCCAUCUCAGCCGCAGCCCGCAGGGGAGUGCCACGUCUUCACUGCCGACCAGUUCCAUGAUGGGGACGGACGGCUGAGAUCUAUUGAUGUAAGUUGGGCCCCUGGCCGGGUGUGAGAUUUGUGAAACUUGAGGGUGACAAUUGAGUACUUGACUCAACUGCUGAAACCUGAAUGAGGCAUCUCUGAAGGCCUGCUUCUCUCGUUCGCUGCCGGAGUUGUUCGUGGGAUCCUCGCACCCAAAGGCCCGAGCCGAAGCCGACGGCGAGCUGCCGGGUCGCCGGCGGCGAGAUGCAAGAAACAAACUCCCACCGGCGCCAUUCCUGCUCUGUAACCCCACGCGUGCCCCGCUACCUGCGCACCGCCGCGGCCCUGGCCGCCGCGGUCCAGAGCGUCAUCAACACGCCCCCGCCGCGCCCCGAGUCGCAGAGCCUCCACGCGCAGCUCCUCACCUCCGGCCUCCGCCCCACCGCCGACCUCUCCGUCAAGUUCCUCAUCCUGCACCUGCGCUGUGGCUCCCACCGCAACGCCCGCGCGGUGUUCGACGGAAUGCCCCGCCCGACCAACGCCGCGCACAACUACCUCGUCGCCGGGUACUUCCGCCUGGGGCUCCCCUGGGAGGCGCUGGGGAUCGUGCGGCGGCUCGCGGCCUCCACGGGCCGCCUGGACGUGUUCGCGCUCUCCAUGGCGCUCAAGCUGUCGGCGGCGCUGGCGCUGCCCCGCGCGGCGAGGGAGGUCCACGCGCGCGUCGUCAGGUCCCCCGCGGAGCUCGACGACAUCCUCGUCGCGGCGUUGGUGGAUGCCUACGUGAAGAACGCGUCGCUGGGCUAUGCUCGGCGGGUGUACGGCAUGGUGCCGGAGCCGGGCAUGGUGUGCUCGACGGCGCUGAUCGUCGGCUGCAUGAACCAAGGGCUGUACAGGGACGCCGAGGCCAUAUUCAACGGGAUGGAGGAGAAGGACGUCGUGGCGUACAACGCAAUGGUGGAGGGGUACAGCAAGACGGAGGAGACCGCGGAGAGCUCGCUGGAGGUGUUCAAGGCGAUGCAGCGAGCGAGGUUCCGGCCGACGGUGUCGACAUGCGUGAGCGUGCUUGGCGCGUGCUCGCUCUUGUCGUCGCCGGAGCUCGGGGAGCAGGUGCACUGCCAGGUCAUCAAGAGCAAGGUCAUCUCUGACAUCAAGGCGGGGAGUGCGCUGCUCGACAUGUACUCCAAGUGCGGCCGAGUUGAGGAGGGGCGGAGGGUGUUCGACGGGAUGGCAGAGAGGAACGUCAUCACAUGGACUUCGAUGAUCGAUGGCUACGGGAAGAACGGCCUUUCAGAUGAGGCUCUCUUGCUGUUGGAGGAGAUGCGGGGGCAGCAGCGGGGCGUCAGGCCAAAUCAUGCCACAUUCCUGAGCGCCCUGUCGGCGUGCGCGCGCGCCGGACUGCUGUCCCGAGGCCAGGAGGUGUUCCAGAGCAUGGAGCGCGACUGCUCGCUCAAACCACGGAUGGAACACUACGCUUGCAUGGUGGACCUGUUGGGCAGGUUCGGCAGCGUGCGCCAGGCAUACGAUUUCGUCAGGGGGAUACCGGCGAGGCCAAACUCUGACGUGUGGGCGGCCCUCCUCGGGGCGGCCACCCUGCACGGCGACGUGGACAUUGCCAAUGUUGCGUCAAGGGAGGUAUUUGAGUUGAGCCGCGCCGGGAGACCGGGCGCCUACAUGGCCUUCUCCAACACCCUUGCGGCCGCCGGAAAAUGGGACUCUGUGCACCAAGUUAGAGAGAUGAUGAAACAGCGUGGCGUGCUCAAAGACGCAGCAUGCAGCUGGGUUGGGUCUGACAACUGUCCACCUGUCAACUGAUGCAAAUUAACGGUGAUUUUUUCAUGAUAUUUUGGGGAUUUCCUUCCUUUGUUGAUUCGUUCUUGGGCUUUGGUGCUCCAACAGCAAAAGGAAAGCGUAUUGAAUCAUACGACGGCACAACAGAUCCUACGGUAUGGAUCGAGGAUUACCUCCUCCACAUCAAUAUGGCCCGUGGUGAUGACUUACACGCCAUCAAAUACCUCCCACUAAAACUCAAAGGACCAGGCUUAAUAGCCUGCCAGCAAAGUCCAUUAGCUAUUGGGAAGAUCUAGAAGCCGCAUUCCUCGACAACUUUCAGGGCAUUUAUGUGCGACCACCAGAUGCCGAUGACUUGAGCCACAUAAUUCAGCAGCCAGAAGAAUCGGCCAGGCAAUUCUGGACUCGGUUCCUAACAAAAAAAAAUCAAAUUGUCGACUGUUCGGAUGCGGAGGCCUUAGCAGCUUUCAAACACAACAUUCGCGAUGAGUGGCUAGCCCGGCACCUUGGUCAGGAAAGCCGAAAUCUAUGGCAGCCAUCACGACACUCAUGACCCGCUUUUGUGUGGGAGAAGACAGCUGGCUGGCUCGCAGUAAUAAUAUGUCAAAGAACCAUGGUACUUCGGAUACCAAGGACGGCAAUAGCAGGUCACGUCGCAACAAACAUAAGCGCCGCAUUAACAGCGAUAAUACUGAAGAUACGACAGUCAAUGCCGGAUUCAAAGGCUCUAAACCCGGUCAGCGGAAAAAGCCAUUCAAAAGAAGCACUCCGGGCCCGUUCAGUUUGGACUGUAUACUCGAUCGCUCGUGUCAAAUACACGGCACCCCCGACAAGCCAGCCAACCACACCAACAGGGAUUGUUGGGUGUUCAAGCAGGCCGGCAAGUUAAUUGCCGAAGACAAAGAUAAGGGGCCACAUAGCGAUGACGAGGAAGAGCCCCAGCAGCCGAACACCGGAGGACAGAAGAGGUUCCCCCCACAAGUGCGGACUGUGAACAUGAUAUACGCAACCCACAUCCCCAAGAGGGAGCGGAAGCGUGCGCUCAGGGACGUAUAUGCGUUGGAGCCAGUCGCCCCAAAGUUCAACCCAUGGUCCUCCUGUCCGAUCACCUUCGAUCGCAGGGACCACCCCACUACUAUCCGUCAUGGCGGAUUCGCCGCACUGGUCCUAGACCCAAUCAUUGACGGAUUUCACCUCACUCGAGUCCUUAUGGAUGGCGGCAGCAGCCUGAACCUGCUUUAUCAGGACACAGUGCGCAAAAUGGGUAUAGACCCCUCAAGGAUCAAACCAAUAAAAACGACCUUUAAAGGCGUCAUUACAGGUGUAGAGGCCCAUUGCACAGGUUCAAUUACACUGUAAGUGGUCUUCGGAUCCCCGGAUAACUUCCGAAGUGGUUAUCAUGCACUGCUCGGGCGAACCGCAUUUGCGAGAUUCAAUGCGGUACCGCAUUAUGCAUACCUCAAGCUCAAGAUGCCAGGACCUCGUGGGGUUAUUACAGUUAAUGGAAACACAGAGCCCUCUCUCCGAACGGAGGAGCACACUGCGGCCCUCGCAGCAGAAGCGCAAAGCAGCCUCUCAAGGCAAUCCACCAGUUCGGCGUCUCAAGACCCGGACACCUUCAAGCGCGCUCGGAGUAAUCAGCAACUGGACCGCCUGGCACGAUCUGAGCUCGCGUAGCAAUGCGGCCCCCACCCCAGUCCCAGCCAAGCGGCAAAAUCCGUGCCACGCGUACAUAAUUACGCAUUAAAAAUAUCAUAGGCACAGGUGGGGAGGGGGCACAACUACGACACACUCCAAGAGGCGGCCUAAACCGCACUAGGGGCUUCCCGCUUUGUUAUUUUUCUCUUUAAGGACUUUAAUCUCUGGAAACCUUGUCCGGCAGCAUGAUUGUCGAACACAUGAUGCAGCAACCAAGAGAGGCAGAAAGCUACGUCACACCAUGGAACUCCCAGGUGGAUUACGAUAACGAGUGAAAUAUUUGCUUUAAUACUAUUCCUCAGCUUGCCCUUGGAAGGGACAUAGUCCUACUUUUUGCUUAUCGCACUAUCCGUAUCAUUCUGCUUUAACGCACCUCUUUGAAUAAACAACGCAUAACAUUAAGACUAUUAUUGCAUUCUUGUUUUAUAUAUAUGUGUUCAUUAAUGACACCUCGCAACUGUACACUUUGGUACGGCCAACACACUAGGGGCUUAAGUACCCCACAAUAUGGUGUGAGAAAUCCGAACACUUUCAUAAGUGCGGCACCCCGAACUUAUAGCAUUAUAUGCAUCAGCUCCGAAUCAUGUCUUUGGUCAAAUGUUGGGUUUGCCCGGCUCCUAUGUUUUGGUACCUUACAUCCCGCUCUAUCGGCUAAGGUAGCGCUAAGAGAACUACUGCGAUUGUGCCCCGGUUCUGCUGGGCUAAGCACCUCAGUAGAGAAAGCUAAAACUGACUAUCAUGAUAAGGCGAGAGACUGGUCGCUGUUCGGCGAGGUUUUGAGUCCCUAAAGACUUAUGCCGCUUAGAGCGAGGAGCCGGUCCUAACCGGCUUAAAGGCGUGUAUCGCGCCCCGAAUUCGGCCUUCCGAAUACCAGGGGCUUCGCCGAAAUUUAAAAUUAUAGAAUUCUAUGGCUAAGUGAGAGUGAUAAAGCAUUAUUAGUCCGGUUGCCUUGUUCGUUGUGGUGAGCACCUCCCUCGAAGGGCCCAAAAAUGGGAACAAGAGUGCUCAGGUUUAUCCCAAACACCCCAGCACUCGCGGCAUGGGGGCAGAAGCCGAGGACUAGCCAUCUCUCAGAUUGGAUAAACAACCAAACAGAAGGUAAUAUUUUAAAUUCAAACAAGCGUUGCAUAGCGCAUAUGAAACAAGUUUUCAUCAUACAUGAUCACACGAGCAAGUUUACUCAAAUAUUACAUCCUUUGAACAUUCGUCCGCUACAAGACGGGCACCCUUCAGGACACCCUCAUAAUAAAUUUCGGGGGUGCGAUGCUCCUUGCCCUGCGGCGGUCCCUCCUUGAUCAGCUUCACAGCGUCUAGCUUGGCCCAUUGCACCUUCACGUGGGCGAAAGCCCGGCGUGCACCUUCGAUGCAGACAGACCGCUUGACGACCUCCAGCCGUGGGCAUGCGUCCACAAGCCGCCUCACCAGGCCGAAGUAGCUGUUUGGGAGGGUGUCGCCAGGCCACAGCCGGACUAUAAAGCCCUUCAUGGCCUGUUCGGCCGCUUUGUGUAGCUCGACCAGCUGCUUCAGCUGGUCGCUCAUAGGCACCGGGUGUUCGGUCCCAGUAUACUGAGACCAAAACAGCUUCUCCGUUGAGCUUCCCUCCUCGGCCUGGUAAAACUGUGCGGCAUCCGACACGCUGCGGGGCAAAUCUGCGAAUGCUCCUGGAGAGCUCCGGAUUCGGGUAAGUAAUAGGUAGUUUACUUUCACAUGCUUGCUUUGCAUAUAGAAUGCCUUACCCGCCGCUAUUUUCUUCAUCGCGUCAAUCUCCUGGAGGGCCUUUUGGGCUUCGGCCUUGGCACUUUUUGCGCUCUUGAGGGCUGCGGCAAGCUCAGACUCUCGCGUCUUCGAGUCCAGCUCCAACGCCUCGUGCUUCGCCACGAGAGCCCGGAGCUCUUGCUGCACCUCGCCCACCCGAGCCUCUUGCUUUUCCUGCUCGGUGCGCUCCUUGGCCGCUUUAUCUUCGGCCUUGGACAUCGCUUGCUUUAGGGUCGCCACUUCGGUCGCGGCCCCUGGCAAACAUACGAUGAUCCUGUCAUUUUGCAACCGCGUCUUCUUUUAUAUAUACAUAUCUAUAGACAGGGUAUUACUUACCUUUGUUCUCCUCGAGCUGCCUCUUGGCAAGGCCGAGCUCGUCCUUGGACCCUUUAAGGUCCUGCUUCAGUGUGGCGACCUCCGCAGUCAGUGCGGCAGAUGCCAGCAGCGAAGCCUGCAUACGCAUAUUGACAUACUUAUAUUAGACUCCUGCGAUGUUGUUUGAUCCUCUGUUCGGUUUUUCUUUGUGAACACCGAACAGAGCAUCAGGGGCUACUGUCUAUGCGGUAAUAUUUUUUCUAUAUUUUAACACUUACCUCAAAGCCUGUUAAAAGGCUGGCACAGGCUUCAAUCAAUCCGCUCUUGGCGGACUGAACCUUCUGGACUACCGCACUCAUAAUAGUACGAUGCUCCUCGUCGAUGGAAGCGCUGCGAAGCGCUUCCAGCAGAUUGUCCGGCGCCUCUAGAUGGACAGAGGUCACCGGCACAGGCGUCUUGCCCCUCUUGGAAGGAGGCCGCCUGCCCGAGUCUGGAACCACUGGAGGUUCCAGCGCGGUGUUCGGCUGAGGGCCGAACUCGGAGCCCUCGGGGGCCUUGUCCCCUCUGCCCCCGGAGUCCGGAAGGUCGCCUUGAGGCGCCUCCGGGACUGUCUCCCCUCGACCCGGUGCCUCUUGAGACAAUACCUUGGCGUUGUCCGCAGGGCAAGGGCAGGUGGCGGUCGGAAGUGGAUCGCUAUCCAUAUCCGACGAGCCCAGGGAGCCGUCCGAUGAUACAUCAAUACGGGCUCGUGGCGGCCUGCAUAAUCAUAUUCGGCGUUAGGGGAAGCAGUGCGCAAAAGGAUACUAUGAGUUACUCUGGUAUCCGAAUACUUACGACCUCCCCAGGGGCUUGGCCCUGGGUAACCACUCGUCUUCGCCUUCGGUGGCGGUGGUGGAACUGUCCGGAAGGAGAGUCCUUCCCUUCUUGGACCCUCCGGCCUCCCCAGUUGGGCGACCUUCCUUUUCUUAUCUUCCCCAACUGAAGGGGGAGCAUCUUCUUCUUCCUCCUCGUCUUCAGGGGAGGAGUGUGCCGCAGAGUCAUCGGACGGUGAGUCUGAUGAUGCCUGGCGUCGGGAACUCUUUCGGGUUCCCUUGGCCUUCUUGGUCUUCUCUGGCACCUUGUAAGGAGCCAAAGUCAGCAUCUCCGUCAGGAGAGCGCCUGCAGUGUCUUCGGGCAAAGGGGCCGGACAGUUAAUCUGCCCCGACGUAUCCACCCAGUCCUGUCAAACGCAUGGAGAUCAGACCCCGCACAUGAUUAAGCUAGGGGAAAUAAAUAUCCUACGGGAUGUAUUGAACUCACCGAACGCGCUAGGCGCUUUGCGCUUAGCCCGCGGUCCUCGGCGAGAGAAGGAGGGACCUCGGCGCCCUUGAACAACACCUUCCAGACGUCCUUGUGCGUCGCAUCAAAGAGCUCGCUCAAAGUCUGGUGCUGGGCCGGGUCGAACUCCCACAAGUUAAAAUCCCGUUGUUGACACGGGAGGAUCCGGCGGAUGAGCAUGACCUGGACUAUGUUGACAAGCUUGAGCUUCUUGCUUGCCAUACUCCGGAUACAUUUCUGGAGUCCAUCCAGCUCCACCGAUGAACCCCACGACAAGCCCUUCUCUUUCCAGGAAGUGAGCCAUGUAGGGAAUCCGGAUCGAAACUCGGGGGGCCGCCGCCCAUUUGGCAUCACGCGGCUCGAUGAUGUAGAACCACACCGAUUGCCACCCCUUUAUGGUCUCCACAAAGGAGCCUUCAAGCCAUAUAACAUUGGGCAUCUUGCCCACCAUGGCUCCGCCGCAUUCUGCCUGUUGGCCACCCACCACCUUCGGCUUGAUAUUGAAGGUCUUUAACCACAGGCCGAAGUGGGACCGGAUGCGGAGGAAAGCCUCACACACGACGAUGAACGCCGAAAUGUUCAAGACGAAGUUCGGGGCCAGAUCAUGAAAGUCCAGCCCAUAGUAGAACAUGAGACCAUGGACGAAUGGAUGGAGGGGAAACCCCAGUCCGCGGAGGAAGUGGUGGAGGAAAACUACCCUCUCGUGAGGUUCUGGGGUAGGGACGAUCUGCCCCGCAGCGGGCAGCCGAUGCGCGAUAUUCGCGGCUAAGUAUACGGCUCCGCGCAGCUUCUUGAUAUGUCCCUCCAUAACGGAGGAAGCCAUCCAUUUGCCUCCUGCUCUGGACAUGUUUGGAGAAGGUUGAGGGAAAGGAUGUGGACUUGGGUGUUGGAGCUCAAGUGCGCGAAAAUGGAUGAGCAAAGGAGGAAGAAGGCGUGGAUGAAGAGGUGAAUCCUUAUCCCUUUAUAUGGGCGGACGAAACUAUGCGUCCCCACUAGCCUGGUAAAACUCGAUUAUCCCCCAAGCGCCGUAAUCGAUGGCGCGGUUGGGUUACCCACCCCCGUAUUGAUGAGAAUCCCGUGAUAAGGGGACACGAUCUCUGCUUUGACAAGACGUGUCAAAAAACUGCCACGCGUUAUGUGCGGGGCUAGUUAAAGGAAACGGUUCGAAUAAUCACGGGCCAUGACAUAAUGUCGUGUUGCCAAAACAAGUCAGCAAAUUAGAUUUGUGGAAAUAUUGUUCUCUCUACGAUGGUAUGUGGAACUUAUUUUGCAGGGUCGGACACUAUCCUUGUGUUCAAAUUCUUCUGUGAUGUAUUCGGAGGAGGAACCCGCCUUGCAAUGCCGAAGACAAUACUGCGCGCCGGACUCAUCGUCAUUGAAAGCCUGGUUCAGGGGCUACUGAGGGAGUCCUGGAUUAGGGGGUCUUCGGACAGCCGGAUUAUAUCCUUUGGCCGGACUAUUAGACUAUGAAGAUACAAGAUUGAAGACUUUGUCUCGUGUCCGGAUGGGACUCUACUUGGCGUGGAAGGCAAGCUAGGCAGUACGGAUAUGGAUAUAUCUUCUUUUGUAACCGACCUUGUGUAACCCUAACCCUCUCCGAUGUCUAUAUAAACCGGAGGGUUUUAGUCCGUAGGACACGACAAUAACAUACAAUCAUACCAUAGGCUAGCUUCUAGGGUUUAUCCUCUCUGAUCUCGUGGUAGAUCUACUCUUGUACUACCCAUAUCAUCAAUAUUAAUCAAGCAGGACGUAGUGUUUUACCUCCAUCAAGAGGGCCCGGACCUGGGUAAAACAUCGUGUUCCCUGCCUCCUGUUACCAUCCGCCUUAGACGCACAGUUCGGGACCACCUACCCGAGAUCCGCCGGUUUUGACACCGACAGGUAGCAUUCCGCAUCAAAAAUUCUGUUUUUAUCAUUUACCUACUCGAGGACCAGCAGGAAUUAAGCUUGGGGAUGCUGAUACGUCUCCAACGUAUCUAUAAUUUUUGAUUGUUCCAUGCUAUUAUAUUAUCAACCUUGGAUGUUUUAUAUGCAUUUAUUGCUAUUUUAUAUGAUUUUUGGGACUAACCUAUUAACCUAGAGCCCAGUGCCAGUUUCUUUUUUUUCUUGUUUUAGAAUAUCGCAGAAAAGGAAAAUCAAACGGAGUCCAAUUGACCUGAAACUUCAUGGAACUUAUUUUUGGAUCAGAAGAAGCCCAGAAGACUUGGAGUGCAUGUCAGGGGAUCAACGAGGAAGCCACGAGGCAGGGGGCGCGCCCUCCACCCUCGUGGGCCCCUCGUGGCCCCCCUGACAUAUUUCUUCCGCCUAUAUAUCUCCAUAUACCCUAAAACGAUCGAGGAGCACAAUAGAUCGGGAGUUCUGCUGCCAGAAGCCUCCGUAGCCACCGAAAACCAAUCUAGACCCGUUCCGGCACCCUACCGGAGGGGGCAAUCCCUCUCCGAUGGCCAUCUUCAUCAUCCUGGUGCUCUCCAUGACGAGGAGGGAGUAGUUCUCCCUCGGGGCUGAGGGUAUGUACCAGUAGCUAUGUGUUUGAUCUCUCUCUCUCUCGUGUUCUUGAGGUGGUACGAUCUUGAUGUAUCGCGAGCUUUGCUAUUAUAUUUGGAUCCUAUGAUGUUUUCUCCCCCCUCUACUCUCUUGUAAUGGAUUGAGUUUCCCCUUUGAAGUUAUCUUAUCGAAUUGAGUCUUUAAAGAUUUGAGAACACUUGAUGUAUGUCUUGCCAUGCGUAUCUGUGGUGACAAUGGGAUACCACGUGAUUCACUUGAUGUAUGUUUUGGUGAUCAACUUGCGGGUUCCGCCCAUGAACCUAUGCAUAGGGGUUGGCACACGUUUUCGUCGAGAUUCUCCGGUGGAAACUUUGGGGCACUCUUUGAGGUUCUAUGUGUUGGUUGAAUAGAUGAAUCUGAGAUUGUGUGAUGCAUAUUGUAUAAUCAUACCCACGGAUACUUGAGGUGACAUUGGAGUAUCUAGGUGACAUUAGGGUUUUGGUUGAUUUGUGUCUUAAGGUGUUAUUCUUGUAUGAACUCUAGGGCUAUUUGUGACACUUAUAGGAAUAGCCCAAUGGAUUGAUUGGAAAGAAUAACUUUGAGGUGGUUUCGUACCCUACCAUAAUCUCUUCGUUUGUUCUCCGCUAUUAGUGACUUUGGAGUGACUCUUUGUUGCAUGUUGAGGGAUAGUUAUGCGAUCGAAUUAUCUUAUUAUUGCUGAGAGGACUUGCACUAGUGAAAGUAUGAACCCUAGGCCUUGUUUCCUAGCAUUGCAAUACCGUUUACGCUCACUUUUAUCAUUAGUUACCUUGCUGUUUUUAUAUUUUCAGAUUACAAAAACCUUUAUCUACUAUCCAUAUACCACUUGUUUCACCAUCUCUUCGCCGAACUAGUGCACCUAUACAAUUUACCAUUGUAUUGGGUGUGUUGGGGACACAAGAGACUCUUUGUUAUUUGGUUGCAGGGUUGCUUGAGAGAGACCAUCUUCAUCCUACGCCUCCUACGGAUUGAUAAACCUUAGGUCAUCCACUUGAGGGAAAUUUGCUACUGUCCUACAAACCUCUGCACUUGGAGGCCCAACAACGUCUACAAGAAGAAGGUUGUGUAGUAGACAUCAGGGCCGACCGGCCUCCCCCCUUGCUCCUUUAUAUACGGGGCAGGGGGCACCCUAGGACACACAAGUUGAUUGUUCCAAGCCGUGUGCGGUGCCCCCUCCACCAUAAUCCACCUCGAUCAUAUCGUAGCGGUGCUUAGGCGAAGCCCUGCGUCGGUAGCAACAUCAUCACCGUCAUCACGCCGUCGUGCUGACGAAACUCUCCUGUGAAGCUUUGUUGGAUCGGAGUUCGUGGGACGUCAUCGAGCUGAACGUGUGCUGAACUCGGAGGUGUCGUACGUUCGGUACUUGGAUCGGCCGGAUCGUGAAGACGUACAACUACAUCAACCGCGUUCUCAUAGCGUUUCCACUUACGGUCUAUGAGGGUACGUGGACGAUACUCUCCUCUCUCGUUGCUAUGCAUCACCAUGAUCUUGCGUGUGCGUAGGAAUUUUUUUGAAAUUACUACGUUCCCCAACAGUGGCAUCCGAGCCAGGUUUAUGUGUAGAUGUUAUAUGCACGAGAACACAAGUGAGUUGUGAGUCUCAAUCCUUUCAAAAAUGAGUGAGUCCAAAGAUCCAUCAACAUGGAGCUUCUUCAUGCGUUUUAUACCGAUAUGACUUAAGUGGCAGUGCCACAAGUAGGUGGCACUGUCAUUACUAUCUUAUAUUUUUUGGCAUGAACAUGUGUAUCACUACGAUCGAGAUUCAAUAAACCAUUCAUUUUAGGUGUAAGACCAUUGAAGGUAUUAUUCAAAUAAACAGAGUAACCAUUAUUCUCCUUAAAUGAAUAACCGUAUUGCGAUAGACGUAAUCCAAUCAUGUCUAUGCUCAACGCAAACACCAAAUAAUUAUUAUUUAGGUUUUAAUACCAAUCUCGAUGGUAGAGGGAGUGUACGAUAUUUGAUCAACCUUGGAAAUACUUCCAACACAUAUCGUCAUCUCACCUUUUAGCUAGUCUCCGUUUAUUCCGUAGCCUUUUGUUUCGAGUUACUAACACUUAGCAACCGAACCGGUAUCUAAUACCCUGGUGCUACCAGGAGUACUAGUAAAGUACACAUUGUAAUGCAUAUCCAAUAUACUUCUGUUGACCUUGCCAGCCUUCUCAUCUACCAAGUAUCUAGGGUGGUUCUGCUUCAGUGACUGUUCCCCUUAUUACAAAAGCAUUUAGUCUCGGGCUUGGGUUCAACUUUGGGUUUCUUCACUAGAACAGCAGCUGAUUUGCCGUUUCAUGAAGUAUCCCUUCUUGCCCUUGCCCUUCUUGAAACUAGUGGUUUCACCAACCAUCAAUAAUUGAUGCUCCUUCUUGAUUUCUACUUUUGUGGUGUCAAACAUCGCGAAUAUCUCAAGGAUCAUCAUAUAUGUCCCUGAUAUAUUAUAGUUUAUCACGAAGCUCUAGCAGCUUGGUGGUAAUGACUUCGGAGAACUAUCACUAUUUCAUCUGGAAGAUCAACUCCCACUUGAUUCAAGCGAUUGUUGUACUCAGACAAUCUGAGCACAAGCUCAACAAUUGAGCUUUUCUCCCUUAGUUUGCAGGCUAAGAAAAUCGUCGGAGGUCUUAUACCUCUUGACGUGGGCACGAGCCCGAAAUCCCAAUUUCAGCCCUCGAAACAUUUCAGAUGUUUCGCGACGUUUUAAAACGUCUUCGGUGCCUCAACUCUAAACCGUUUAACUGAACUAUCACGUAGUCAUCAAAAUGUGUAUGUCAGAUGUUCGCAACAUCCACAGACGACGUUCGAGGUUCAGCACACUGAGCAGUGCAUUAAGGACAUAAGCCUUUUACUGUCUGCAUAAUUACUACUAUCAACUUUCAACUAAUUUUUUCUCUAGGAACAUAUCUAAAUAGUAGAACUAAAGCGUGAGCUACGACAUAAUUUGCAAAAUCCUUUUGACUAUGUUCAGCAUAAACAAGUUCAUCUUAUGAACUUCCACUCAGAUAGACAUCCCUCUAGUCAUCUAAGUGAUUACAUGAUCCGAGUCAACUAGGCCGUGUCCGAUCAUCACGUGAGACGGACUAGUCAACAUCGGUGAACAUCUUCAUGUUGAUCGUAUCUUCUAUACGACUCAUGCUCGACCUUUUGGUCUCUUGUGUUCCGAGGCCAUGUCUGUACAUGCUAGGCUCGUCAAGUCAACCUAAAUGUUUCGCGUGUGUAAAUCUGGCUUACACCCGUUGUAUGUGAACGUAAGAAUCUAUCCCACCCGAUCAUCACGUGGUGCUUCGAAACGACGAACUUUCGCAACGGUGCACAGUUAGGGGGAACACUUUCUUGAAAUUUUAAUGAUGGAUCAUCUUAUUUACUACCGUCGUUCUAAGCAAAUAAGAUGCAAAAACAUGAUAAACAUCACAUGCAAUCAAAAGGUGACAUGAUAUGGCCAUCAUCACUUUGCUCCUUUUGAUCUCCAUCUUCGGGGCUCCAUGAUCAUCAUCGUCACCGGCAUGACACCAUGAUCUCCAUCAUCAUGAUCUCCAUCAUCGUGUCUUCAUGAAGUUGUCUCGCCAACUAUUACUUCUACUACUACAACUAAUGGUUAGCAAUAAAGUAAAGUAAUUACAUGGCGUUGUUCAAUGACACACAUGUCAUAUAAUAAAUAAAGACAACUCCUAUGGCUCCUGCCGGUUGUCAUACUCAUCGACACGCAAGUCGUGAUUUCUAUUACAAGAACAUGAUCAAUCUCAUACAUCACAUAUCAUUCAUCACAUUCUUCUUGGCCAUAUCACAUCACAUAGCAUACCCUGCAAAAACAAGUUAGACGUCCUCUAAUUGUUGUUUGCAUGUUUUACGUGGCUGCUAUGUGUUUCUAGCAAGAACGUUUCUUACCUAUGCAAAAACCACAACGUGAUAUGCCAAUUGCUAUUUACCCUUCAUAAGGACCAUUUUCAUCGAAUCCGAUCUGACUAAAGUGGGAGAGACAGACACCCGCUAGCCACCUUAUGCAACUAGUGCAUGUCAGUCGGUGGAACCAGUCUCACGUAAGAGUACGUGUAAGGUCGGUCCGGGCCGCUUCAUCCCACAAUGCCGCCGAAUCAAGAUUGGACUAGUAACGGUAAGCAUAUUGAACAAAAUCAACACCCACAACUACUUUGUGUUCUACUCGUGCAUAGAAACUACGCAUAGACCUAGCUCAUGAUGCCACUGUUGGGGAACGUAGCAGAAAUUCAAAAUUGUCUACGCAUCACCAAGAUCAAUCUAUGGAGUAAUCUAGCAACGAGGGGAAGGAGAGUGCAUCUACAUACCCUUGUAGAUCGCUAAGUGGAAGCGUUCAAGUGAACGGGGUUGAUGGAGUCGUACUCGUCGUGAUCCAAAUCACCGAUGAUCCCAGUGCCGAACGGACGGCACCUCCGUGUUCAACACACGUACAGCCCGGUGACGUCUCCUACGCCUUGAUCCAGCAAGGGGAGAAGGAGAGGUUGGGGAAGACUCCAUCCAGCAGCAGCACGACGGCGUGGUGGUGAUGGAGGAGCGUGGUACUCCAGCAGGGCUUCGCCAAGCACCGCAAGAGAAGAGGAGAACUUGGGAAAGGGGGAGGGUUGCGCCAAGACUUGGGUGCGGCUGCCCUCCCACCCCCACAUAUAUAUAGGGGCAAGGGAGAGGGGGGCCGACCCCCUCAGAUCCAAUCUGAGGAGGGGGCGAUGGCCAAGGGGGGUUGCCUUGCCCCCCAAGGCAAGGGGGGCGCCCCCCCUUUAGGGUUCCCCCAAACCCUAGGCGCAUGGGCCCUAGGGGGGGAGGCGCCCAGCCCACUAAGGGGCUGGUCCCUCUCCACAUACAGCCCUUAGGGCCCUCCGGGGCAGGUGGACCCUUCCGGUGGACCCCCGGAACCCCUCCGGUGGUCCCGGUACAAUACCGGUAACCCCCGAAUUAUUCCGGCGACCAAAACAGGACUUCCCAUAUAUAAAUCUUUACCUCCGGACCAUUCCGGAACUCCUCGUGAUGUUCAGGAUCUCAUCCGGGACUCCGAACAACAUUCGGUAACCACGUAUAUCUAUUCCCUAUAACCCUAGCGUCAUUGGACCUUAAGUGUGUAGACCCUACGGGUUCGGGAACCAUGUAGACAUGACCGAGAUAACUCUCCAGUCAAUAACCAACAACGGGAUCUCGAUACCCAUGUUGGCUCCCACAUGUUCCACGAUGAUCUCAUCGGAUGAACCACGAUGUCAAGGACUUAAUCAAUCCCGUAUACAAUUCCCUUUGUCUAUCGGUAUGAUACUUGCCCGAGAUUCGAUCGUCGGUAUCCCGAUACCUUGUUCAAUCUCGUUACCGGCAAGUCUCUUUACUCGUUCCAUAACACAUCAUCCUGUGAUCAACCCCUUGUUCACAUUGUGCACAUUAUGAUGAUGUCCUACCGAGUGGGCCCAGAGAUACCUCUCCGUUUACACGGAGUGACAAAUCCCAGUCUCGAUUCGUGCCAACCCAACAGACACUUUCGGAGAUACCUGUAGUGUACCUUUAUAGCCACCCAGUUAUGUUGUGACGUUUGGCACACCCAAAGCACUCCUACAGUAUCCGGGAGUUGCACAAUCUCAUGGUCUAAGGAAAUGAUACUUGACAUUAGAAAAGCUUUAGCAUAUGAACUACAUGAUCUUGUGCUAGGCUUAGGAUUGGGUCUUGUCCAUCACAUCGUUCUCCUAAUGAUGUGAUCCCGUUAUCAAUGACAUCCAAUGUCCAUGGUUAGGAAACCGUAACCAUCUAUUGAUCAACGAGCUAGUCAACUAGAGGCUUACUAGGGACAUGGUGUUGUCUAUGUAUCCACACAUGUAUCUGAGUUUCCUAUCAAUACAAUUCUAGCAUGGAUAAUAAACGAUUAUCAUGAACAAGGAAAUAUAAUAAUAAUCAAUUUAUUAUUGCCUCUAGGGCAUAUUUUCAACACUUGACGUAUACUCCAAGUCUUGGUUGACAUAGCUCGCGUGCUCAUCCUUUGGUGGUAACCGACAUAUGUAAGCCUAGGUACCCUUGGUGUCUAUAUAAACCAGAGGGUUUAGUCCGUAGAGGCUAGAACCAUCAUCCUACUCAUCUAGGGUUUAGUUCAUACGAUCUCAUGGUAGAUCAACUCUAUAAUCCUCAUAUACACACAUUAAUAUAAUCAAGCAGGACAUAGAGUUUUACCUCUUCGAGAGGGCCCGAACCUGGGUAAAUAUUGUCCAUGCGUACUUUGUUACCCAUUGAUCCAAGAUCCACAGCUCGGAACCCCCUACCUGAGAUUCACCGGUUUUGACACCGACAAGGGGAGGGGGUGCCGAGGAUAGGCAGGUAAAGUGGUGGUGUGACAUGAGGGAUCAGUCUUUGUGUCGUGGAGAUGCACCACCACAUGCUUAAUUGACACAUACUAUUCAUGAAUUCUUGUACAUACAGACCAGGCUACUAGGCCUUUUUAUUUGCGAUAGGCUAUUUGCCUAUGUAGAAGGACAAACAAACCAUGUAGGAUCAUGCCCUCCUAGGGUUGGGCCUUUGGCGGUCACCCUCCCGCCUAGGCCCAGAGCCAACCUUGCUUAAAAAGACUCGACUAUAAAUCCUUUUCAUACCAACUCUUUCCCAUAGCCCCAAACCCCAGCGACCACCCCAAUCCUCGCGAUCCCAGACUUCUUCUUCUUUUUCAUCCCAGGCGAACACUUGAAGUCUUCGACGCCUCCACCUUCGGUAAGGAUUCGCCUCCAGAGGAUCUUCAUCGCUCGGAGCUUCGCCCUCGGUUACCGUCCUCACCACCCUCAAAGUUUUUUUUUCCAUCGGUGCCACCAUAGUCGCCCCCCUGAGUUGGAGCAAGAUGCGUAGGAGAAAGCGUCCUGUCGUUGAUGCUCCUAGUGGAUCGGGCCGCCGCCGUAGUGCAUGGUAAAAUUGCCGCGUUUUCAUUCUAACUUGGAUCUAGUGUUUUUUUUUCAUGUUUGUUAUGAUGUUUAUUUUCUUUCCUAUGCAUCGUCGUAUGUUGUUUCUAUUAUAUAGCGGCUGUGGGAGUCGCCGGAAAACCUUCUUGAAGCAUAGUCUGAACCAUCCGAUUCCAUGUCCAUUCUUUUAGCAUCAGCUCAACGAGCACCCACCCGUUGCUGAGAGCACGAGCCUUCGCAAAAAUAUGAUCUAGCUGCUCGUUUUAGGGUAGAUCCAGCAAGACGUAGGGUAAGACAUGCCCCAUCCUAAGAUCUUUUUUUAGGUGUAACUAGGGAUUUUAUUGAUCAACCAAAGCCGGAGGAAUACAAAUAAUGUCUGGCGGGUUCCCUAGCCACAGAUGGCGACCGGUAGGGAGAGACGAGGCUGCCUUUGCCAAGGCAUGAGCCUCAAAGUUUGCCUCCCUACCUUCAAAACGAAACUUAACUCCUAAAAAGUCUGUAACUCUAUCUUUAAUCUCUUGAAUUACAAAAGCAUACGAGGAAGACGACGCCAUCCCAUGAAUAUCCGAAACAACCUGCAUGCAAUCCGAGACUAUUAUCACAUGUGUCAGCAUUAGAUCUUGAGCCAAAGCAAGCGCCUUGUUGCACGCUUGAGCUUCCAAGCUUGGGGCGUCGACUAGUCCUUCGAAAACCACCGUUGAAGAUCCAAGGUAGUCGCCUUCUUUGUCCCGACACACAGCAGCCGAUGCACCAGUUCCUCCUUGGCGAGAGAUGGUCCCAUCUACAUUGAUCUUCAUCGACUCUUCUCCCGGCGGGAUCCACCUGCGCGGCCUAUGAAUCACCGGCUGUGAAUGUCGCGUUGGUGCACGUUUGGUAGCGAUAUGCAGGUCCUCCAAGUACCUGUUCACAAAACACAUUGUAGAAAGUGGGCUUUGGAAUUCGUAGUCGUGAAUUGCUUUCCUUCUAGCCCACCAAAUCGCCCCACCCUAAGAUCUAGGUCGAGCCAGCAUACACCUACCAAAAAAAAGGAAACAGACCAAAAGGCCCAGCCCAACUCACCUCGGGCCCACUCUAGCAAUCUGGUCUGAUCUGUCACCGGCUGCUUGACCGUAAUUUCUUUUCAAUACUAAUAUUUAGGCACGUGGUGAUGAUAAAAUACUCUGAUGGAUACGCCCCAUCAACUCCGGUCUAGUAGAAUUUAUGUCGCUCCUUUUUUCGGUCCCCACAAUAAAUGCACCACAAUUAUUGCUCAAUAAGGACAUUAUCACAUACUACAAAACCUUUUGGUCCAAUGGUGGGGGGCGGGGUAGGGGAGAGACUUGGCAUUUACAGGCUCACAAGCCACUGCCGCUGUUGUUGCAGUGCCCGUGACGAGACGGCCGCGGCGCGGGCAGAGGGGGGAGGGGGUAACAACAAGAGCCACGGGGCAGGCGCCCCCUCUUUCUCCCGCCGGAGCUCCUCAAAACCCCGUUGCGGCCGCCGCCCGACGCGAUCGCGCUAAACCCUAGCCUCCGCCGCCGCCGCCCGCCGCCGCGCCCGCCCCGCAUUCCCCGCCCGUCCUCGCGCCCGCCCGCAGAGGUAACGCUUCCGCCCGCCCGCCUCCUCUUCCUCUGUUCCGCGCGCCGUCGCUCGGGGCCUCCCUCCCAUCCGCGGACCCGCCCGUCGGCGCGCCUUCCGCGCGCUCCGGGGAGGGGAACGGCCCGGGAGCAGGGUUCCGUCCCUGGGCGNNNNNNNNNNNNNNNNNNNNNNNNNNNNNNNNNNNNNNNNNNNNNNNNNNNNNNNNNNNNNNNNNNNNNNNNNNNNNNNNNNNNNNNNNNNNNNNNNNNNNNNNNNNNNNNNNNNNNNNNNNNNNNNNNNNNNNNNNNNNNNNNNNNNNNNNNNNNNNNNNNNNNNNNNNNNNNNNNNNNNNNNNNNNNNNNNNNNNNNNNNNNNNNNNNNNNNNNNNNNNNNNNNNNNNNNNNNNNNNNNNNNNNNNNNNNNNNNNNNNNNNNNNNNNNNNNNNNNNNNNNNNNNNNNNNNNNNNNNNNNNNNNNNNNNNNNNNNNNNNNNNNNNNNNNNNNNNNNNNNNNNNNNNNNNNNNNNNNNNNNNNNNNNNNNNNNNNNNNNNNNNNNNNNNNNNNNNNNNNNNNNNNNNCCUCCGGACUGCGCGUGCGCGCGGGGCGCUUUCGAUCUCGGAUUUCUUCCUUCCGCGUCGCGCAGUUGAUGUGGGCUUUCCAGUUGGGAUUCUGGUUCCUGCUCCGUGGAUUUGCGAUCUGACUGAAUUUCUGUUCUCUGACUGACUGAUGCCAGGUUGCAGAGCGGUGGAAUGGGGAACAGCCGGCCCGGAGGGGCGCCUCCGACAACCAGUGGGAACGUGGCGAGGAGCAACGCGGAGGCCGUGACGGAAGCUCCCCGCUUGCGGCCGCACGGAGGGCCAGGUGCGCCGGGUCCGGGGAGCCCAGGUCGGAGCACACCCCUUCCUGGUGGUCGGGAGAGGGGUUCCACGGGGGCAAAUGUGAUGACACCGUCUUGUGACAGGCAGCAGAACAGAGCGGUGGAGGAAGCGCCGCUCGGAGCGUCGAGCGCGGUUAAGAAGAGCAGUGUGCCCAAUUCUCUGUCAAGGGGUUCAGACAUAAACUCUGGCUCUAGGAUGGAUGCAGAGGAGCAAGUGAUGGGUGGGCAAGCGAGCAACGGGGACGCUGGCUCUUCCUCGAAGAAGCGGAAAAAAAGAAUGGAUGCAAGAAGCUACAUCAAGAGAUUCAAGACUGGCGUAAGAGUGGGUGCCUCAGGUAUAUUACUUCCUCUCUUAUGUUGGGCUCUUGCUCUACUUACUUAAAGGCUGAAUGGUCACAUCCUCUCAGACAAGUAGUUUUAAAGGGCUCUGCUGGCUUACCUACUCUGUUAUCAAAUCACAUUGUAAUCAUGGGGUUGCCUAGUGGUUAGGACUAGCUGAAGGUUUAUAUAUAUGGGAAUAACAAAAUGUGUAGGCACACAAGUCAGGCAUCAUCAUUUAGGCACACUAGUUGAGGUUCUAGGCUUCAAGGUGAGGUACAUAUCUAGGGCACCAUCAUUUAGGCACAAUCAUACAGAACCACUUUGUUUGGGCACCAAAUCAACAUGAGAAUUUCCAUAUAUGUGUUACUCUUGGGCAUUUAGCCUGCAUUCUGGUUUAUGAGAUUUGCCUAUUAGUUGCACACUUGGUCAUUUAGCCUGCAUCAAUUCAUCCGAGUACUAUCAUAUCUAAUUUGUCUCUUAAAUUUUCAGAUAUAGUUGUUGCUUCCCCUGACAGGAUGGGCAAGGAGAAUACUGCAAGUGGGCAUGUGGCAGACAGCAACACUGCUAUCCUGUGUGAAGGUAGCAGGUUGAUUGAAAAAAGCAAGGGACAUUCAAGCCAUGCUGCCUUCAAAGUUUCUAACAGUCCUAUUUCUGGUUUACAUGAAACUUCAGACACAAGAGUUGACCAAUGUUCUACACCAUUGUCAGAGGUUUGCACUGUCUGCAUUUCAUUUUUGCCAGCGCUAAUGCCACCUUUUUAAUAUGCAAAAAUGGAAACUCUUUGAACAUAACUGUGAGUUCUUGCGAGACUUCAAUAGCAUCUGGUGCAUGAUCUAUCAAUUUUGCAAUACUUCUGUCUUUGCCUCCAUCUAUUAAAUUUCAUACUAUACUUGUCUUUAGCCAUCUGCUGGGCUAGGUAUCUACUUAAGUGGCAGCCAAGCAUGUUAAAUGCUAUUGCAUGUAUCGAUUGUUCAUGAUAAAAGAUGUGCAUAUGAACAUUAAUUGGGAAGAUGCAAUAUGCAAUACUAUACUUUCCAUGCUAUAGAAGCAACUGUAUAGAGACACUACAACAGCCAAUCAGUAACAACAGUCAGGUGCCUUUUACUCCAUAGGACACCAUUUGAAGCAGUGACAAUUACUAACCUCUUGUCGUCAAUUGUUGUAGGUACAGCCACAUAAACCUACCGACGUGCAAAAUAUAGCGGUUGAAAGCAGUCUUCCAGCAAAGGCUAGAGAUCCACGCAUUGGCCUUGCAAGGUGCUUUACUUUUCAGCCUUUAUGACUUCUUUGAUACUGGCAAUUAGGCAUGUAUUUUGAAUUGAUGUUAAUUCUGUGUUAACCAUCCAUUUUGCAGGCAAAGCUUUCCAUCACCAUCAUCAUUGCAGAGUGUACCAAUACCUAUUCCUCAUGAAGAGGUAGCCCUCUCUAACUGUAGCUCAGGAGUACUUCAAUUCUCUUGGCAACGGCUUUUCAUGGCACAUAAAAAAUUUGUUUUCCCCAAAAAAGAAGUAUGACGUGCUUUCUGAUUUUUAUGCAUCAACGUGAUCGGGUCCAACUUUUGAUAUUAUGUUAGAUUAAGAGCACAGUUGGAGAUGGUGAACCUAUUACUGUUCAAAAAGAAAAUUCAGCUUCAGGACAUCUCAAGGUGACCCAAUCUGAUGGAACAGAUGGUAACUCCAACAUAUGUGCUGCUUGUGGUCGUGGAACCCCAGGAACUUUUAGGUAAGUUGAUUCAUUUUUUUUCCAUCAGUAUUUACUAGUACAGAAAACAGUAAUGCAAAUGAAGCCAUUUCUCUAGGAUACCAUAAGAACAUAUUAUUGCGGUUUGCGAAUGAAAAAUAUUCUUCCCUCAAUACAUGAGCGUGUACAUCCCUAUAUGUGCAAAUAUUGAAGAUCUUGACUUUUCGUUACUUGACCUGUUUUAUGAAACCAAUUUCUAACUGAACUUGUAAAUCUCCUGUUCUUUUAUACUGCUUAUCAUGGAAAGAGAACACACUAUUAAAACUUCUCAUCUGAUCUUUGUAUAUUAUUAAUCUUCUGUGUAUACUUUUGGUCCAUCAUGCACAAUAUUCACUUUGUGAUGAUCUGAUGUAUAUAUUCAAUUGGUAAUAGGUCUUGUGGUGGAAAAGGUUGCAAAAGUAGGUACCAUAUGUCUUGUCUGGAUCAAUAUUUGUCCCUUGGGAAUUGGUUCUGUACCAGCUGUACAAAAAAGAGGUUGCAGUUUGGCUUACAUUAUAUUGUUGAUGGGAUAGAGUCUGUGUGGGAUGUCAAGGAGGCUGAGGGUAAGCAAAGAACAAAAAAAUAAUCUUGCAUGAAACAAAAUCAAAGUUUAUCCUAGCAGUAUUGCCUUCUAUUUCCUAAUUUAGUGCCUCUGUUUAUUGGUUCUAUGUUUGUAGGAAUGCAAACUAGCAAGCAGUAUUUUGUCAAGUAUAAAAAUCUGGCACAUGUCCAUAACCGUUGGAUUCCAGAAGGUGAUAUUAAGGUCAUGCCUGGAGGUCCUGAUCUUCUUUCCUUGUUUAACAAGAGGAAUCAUACUGAAAAGGUGAUUAUUUUUGUGGUGAACUUUAUUUCUUCGUGCCUAUGAAGGAUGACUCAGGCUUUGCAAAAGAUCCAUGCUUAUGUUUUUCUUGUGAAAUGAUUCCCCAGACAAUUUGGAAGGAGGAAUGGACUAAGCCACAUCGCCUGUUGAGGAAGAGGCUACUUGUGCCCCCCAAAUUGGCUGAUGAUUUCUUCUGCGCUGAUGAUUUCUUUUGCUCAACUGGUGUCAAUUAUACAUAUUGUACUCUUGAAUGGUUAGUGAAAUGGAGGGGUCUUGGCUAUGAUCAUGCAACAUGGGAACUAGAGACUUCAUCCUGUUUAUGUACGCCGGAAGCUGACGAACUUAAAAAGAACUACGAGAACCGCCGUGAAGCUGCAAAACAAUCAUCUGUUCCCCAAAAAACAAAGGUGUGGUGGGAAAAACCAAUUUUAUUGCUAUAGCUUGCCUGAUAUUACUUUUAAUUCAUGCAUGACAUAUUGACAUGACUCUGGUAGAAAAUAUAGCCUGGUCAGUUCGAAGAUAAACUUCAUAGAAAUGUAACAUCCGUUUUCUAGGCUGUCUAUACCAUUAAGAUUUUUGCUGUUUUAGAUGAUCCAUGAUACUAGCCACCAAGACUAAGAAAACUGAAAACUGUGUUAACUGAUCUGCCAAUUCCAUUUUUUUUUAAUUCUUAUAAAGAUCUGAGUUGGUGUCAGUCCAUUCACCCUCAGAGAUUACCUCUAAGUUGCCGAGAAAUGAAUCCAUGUAGUUAUCAUACAUUCUAUGCAAUAGACAGAUGUAUCAUGAUCUUUUGAUUAGUUGAUUCAAUUGAUGUGUAUUUUGAGUUUUUCUUUCUACAAACAACUCAUGCAGAAAAAAAAGAACUUCUAUAGGCAUGAUUAUUUAACAUCCAUAGCAACCCAUAAGUAUUUAGCUAGCCCUUGAAAGUUAUCUUUAUUUUUCUGGCUUUAUUGAACUAUCACGACAUUGACAAUAUCUUUAUCGCUGUUCUCUUUGUCACAAGUUAGUUAUGAGUGUGCUUGAAACUUUACAUUUUCGUGGAACUUCUACUUAAGCUCUUCUGUAUAAUAUUAGUUGUCUUUACAGAUUAAGCAAAGCUCAUUCCAGAAACUUGAGAGAUUGCCAGAUGGGUGCCAUCCUGAUUUUGACAAUGAUCACUUGUGUUCAAUCAAUCACCUUCGAGAGUACUGGCACAAAUCUCAUGGUGCUGUUCUUGUCGAUGAGAAGGUAGGAACCAUGCAAGUAGCUUAGCAUCACUAGUCCAUCUACUCUAGUUUUUCACCCACAUUCUUGUUCAUAGUAGUUAUGGCCACGGCAUUGUGAGAUGUUCUAUUGCUUUGUUUACAGGGAUGCAACAAUUUACAAUUAUAAGUACAUCUCUCACAGUUGUACUUGGUUAAUUUUGAACUCCUUUCUAAAUAAAAAGGACUCGAUGCUUAACUCAUUUAUUAUGCAGGAGUAUGUAAUGAAGACCGUGUUAUUCACAAUGUCUGUAUUACCUGACAUCAGCCAACCUUUUCUAAUUGUCACAACCCCUGGUUCUCUGUCCUUAUGGGAGGUUCAGUUCAAUAAGUUGGCACCAUUUAUCAAUGUUGUUGUGUAUGACGGGGGGAAAGAUGAGCUGAAAUUAAUUCGAGAUUUGGAAUUCUAUGAGAGUGGAAGCCGCAGUAUGUUACAGGUUCUCUUAUCCCAUCCUGAUGCUAUCCUAGAGGUAAGUGCCAACUGCUAAGUAUUUCCUUGCCUAGUCUUAGUGUGCAAAUGCUGCUUACCAAUUAAGAGCACAUAGAUACCUAGAUCAUAUUGAUGUCGUUGUUACUACACCCCUAGCCCAUCUCUCAAGCUUAUGUUUGUCAUUUAAUUGUGAUCUCUCUGCCAUGACACAGGAUAUUGAACCUAUAGCACACAUUGGUUGGGAAGCAGUCAUAGUUGAUUGUUAUGAAAAGUCAGCUCUACAAUAUCUCGAACAACUGAAGGAAAUUCCCACUGACUUCAGAAUGUUGCUUGUGAGCUCCCAAAUUAAGGUGCCUAUCAAUAGCUCUGGCCGGUCAGUUUUUUCUAUACCACAAAUAAGCCAUGCUAUAUUGUUAUUUUGCAGGAUAAUCUUCCCGAGCACGUGAAACUUCUAGCAUUCCUUAAUUCUGGAGAGCAAGAAAAUGGCGAUCGCGUUGAUACUGCUGAGACCCUUAUGAUGCUGGAAGGAAACUUCAAAAGUCAUAUUGCAUAUGAGCGUCAAGCAGAUUCUUUAAAAAUAUUGGAGCACUGGGUUCCUGCUUACAUUUCACAACUGCAGCUGCAGAUAUAUUGUUCCAUACUGCUUUCAAACUCAUCUGUCCUCCAGUCGCAGAUGAAAAGUGAUAAAGCUCUUUAUGACAUUAUUAUGUCUCUCUCAAAGGUGUGCUUUGCAAACAAAUUUACGGCUUGUAUGAUAACAGUCUAUAUGCAAUCUGCAAUACACGUACUUUAUUCCUUCUUCUGCAAAGUUAUGGCUCUGUUACUGACUUUGAUCUGUUCUUCAUGUCGUUAUGUUAGUGCUGUGAUGACCCUUACCUUGUUGAUGAAUCCCUGCGACCUCCUGUCAACAAUCAUGAUCACACUGAUCCUAUAGUUACGAGAGUGCAAGCAUGUGGCAAGCUACUGCUUCUUCAAAAAAUGCUUGAAGCAAUAAGGAACAAGAGGCUAAGAGUUAUUAUUCUUUUUCAAGUGAGAUACUCAUGGCAUUACCCUCUUUUACUUAUGAUCAUGUGUGGCAUAAUUUAUCGAAUCUUAGAUCUCUGUAGUUGUCGCAUGUUAUACGAUUGAUUUAUCAUCCUAGAAUGUUUCACGUUAUCUAUUGGCUAAUACUGAUGGUAAUCAGUUGAUCAACCAAUCAUGGUUCUGAAAAUUGUUAUAUGGUAUUCGUUCAGUCAUGCAUCUACUAUUAAUUAUUUCUCUCCAAGUAGUCCAGUUAUGUGUCCUAACUGUUGAUUGUAUGGUAACAUGUAGGGCACCUGUUCCUUUUUUAUGCCAUACAAUCACUGUUUUUAAAACAUUGCUGCCAUACAUUUUUUAGAAGCUGAACUUGUAUAAUUAAUUUCUUAGCUUUGAAUAUCUUAGCUCAUUAGCUAUCUUGCUUGCACUUUGCCUCAGGUGCGAUGUCAUGACCGCCACAUAAAAUGCCAAUAUGCUAUUUAUUUCAGCAGAUUUUUACACGAGUGAACACGUUGUUGCCAUGAUGUGCAAAAGUACUUUUCUUAUAACAAGUAAUUAACAAUAGAAAGAAAUAAUACAUGACAAAUUCCUCCUAGUGACAUGCAAGUGCCAUUUCACUUAUUGUUCCAAACAUGUUACUUCAAGUACUCAACAAUGUUGUCAUUUCUUAUUGACGUAUUCCCUUGAUGCUCCUCUAUGAAAUUUGUGUCUUCGAGAAGUCCUUCAUUUUUUCUUAACUGAGCAUGUUUUUUGGGAUGUCCUGGCAGUCUGGUGUAGCAGGUGGAAGCUCAGUGGGUGAUACAUUGGAAACUGUUGUGCGUCACAAAUUUGGCCCGGAGUCAUAUGAACGUGUUGAAUUUCGUGGAUCAUUCUCAAAGAAAGCAGUGGCACUUAAUAAGUUCAAUGACAAGACUAAGGGGAGAUUUGUUUUUCUGAUUGAAACAAGUGCAUGCCUCCCAAGUAUUGAGCUGUCGUCUGUCGAUGCCAUUAUUAUAUAUAAUAGUGACUGGAACCCACUAAAUGAUCAAAAUGCUCUUGAAAAAAUCAAAAUAGAGGCACAACUUAGGCAUCCAAGUAUUUUUCGCUUAUACACUCCUUUCACAAUGGAGGAGAAGUGGCUUGUGCUUGCAAAACAGGGGAUGCUAAUUGAUAAGGAUAUAACACACAGCAUAAGCCAUUCCUUGAUUAGUUGGGGUGCAUCAUGUCUCUUCUCUAGACUUGAUGAGCUUAAGCAUGACAACUGUGCAAGUAAAAGCUCUGAAAGAGACAACUUUAUGAAUAAAGUAAUUUCAGAGUUCUUGGGAAAAUUAGCCACAAAUAUUGUAGGCAGCACCAAAAUUGCCUGCACAUCCAUAUCGGAAGCCAAUAUGAGCGGGAAAUUUUACUCAAGAAACAUUACUCUAAUUGGUGAAAAAGAGGAAAUGCGUGCAUUGGAUGGAGAUCCAUCUAAUUUCUGGUCAAAUUUACUGGAUGGAAAAUCCCCUGGUUGGAGCUAUAUAUCUGAGCCACCACAAUCAAGCCAUAUGAUCGUACAGAACUUGGAAGAACGAGCCAAGGAUCCUGCUGAAGAAGCCAAUCAAAGCAGAAGGAAGCGUAGAAAGGUUGGCGAAAUCACAGGUCCAUCUUCAAAAAGUUCACCUGACAACAAUCAUGAUGAUAUGUUGCCUGAAAACUGUUCUACAUCGAGUCCUGCUCUUCAACCGCUUGAUGACACACAACAAAAAUUAGGUAUCAUGAUCAUCAUCACAGAAUACAUUCAGCUGCAGAUUUGCAUAUUACAUUGUUCUGAUGCAAUUUUUGUUCUGAAGGGGUUGAAAAGCGAAUGAGCACACCCAAGAAUCUUCACAUCCAACUUAAGAAAGAGCUAUCAAAAUUAAUUACGGCCCUACAAUUGCCGGUAUGAAUUUUCUUAGUUCUCUCUCUCUCUCUCUCUCAUCAUGGCAUGCUAUUGGCAGGAUGCAAAGAAGUCACAUUUUUAUGCUUAGAACUUAGAACAUGUUCUGCUAAUGUACAGAAGGUUACAGAAAGCGUACAAACUGGUUAUUAUCUGCAUCCAAAAACAAGGAAACGAUAAUCCUAAAUUGAAUCUUUCCUUGCACCUGAAUGAAACUCACAUAAAAAAUGGCUAAACUAACUGCCAGCGAGUGCCACAACUACAUCUAGUGGGGCUUUUGUCAUAAACGGUAGUAAGACCAACCCUUACUCCCUUGUUUUGAUGGUUGGUCUCUACUGUUUUCUGUCUCUUGGCUAGUUUGUCAUGGCGAAAUUUUCAAAGUGCAGUUAUUCAUGGGCACAUUGCGUAUAUGGUAAUCAGAUAUAAUAUGUCAGCUAGGAUAUAAGUCGACACUAGCCCUCAAGUUUCAUGUAGGUCACACUCACAACUCAAGAGCCGAUAUUUAAAGCUUGUCUGACUCACCUUGACAAGCUGAAAGUUAUACUGUAGAAGAGUUUUAUGUAUUAACACACCAAUUCUGGUACAUUCUCAAGAGCUUUCAUAUAUGCCUGUCUUGAGGACUGUGAUUAGGGAAAAAAGUAAUAAAGUAGAAAAGAGCUGCUAAAUAUGUCUGACUGUCUGCAGUUCAGAUAUGCUCUGUUGCACUUUCUGUAAUUUAAUCUGUUAUGCCUAAUGAUUAUACAUUCUUGACAGUUGACACCCAUGUGAAACAAAGAUUUAGUACUGGAAUAUGGAAAAUAUUCUUGCUAAUGGUUCUUUUGAUUUUUGUUAUGUGCCUUUCUCAUUUGUUCAUUCUUUUGCUUUGCUCUUGCACUGAUUCUUCAUGCUUACCUGGCUAAUGAGCAUCUUGUGUAAAUUGGAAAUGCAGGAUGAUGUAAGAGCUAUGGCUGAACAGUUGUUUGAGUAUUUUUUGAAGAAUCAUCUUGUUGUUACAGAGCCAGUGGGCAUACUGCACGCAAUCAUCAUAUCCUUGGUAAGAACGACACCCGCAAAGUCAUUGCAUUUUCAUUUUUCAUAUUUAUGUUUAUCAAAUAUGCUAACGUGCCCUGUAGCUGGCCUCCUAGGAGGAUUGUACCAAACUACUUCUUUUCAAUACAAUGAAAUGCAAAGCUUUUGCGUUUUCUCAAAAAAACUAAAAAAAAAA
Molecule: long non-coding RNA, 55350 nt
Filed under: Triticum aestivum (bread wheat)
Lineage: Eukaryota; Viridiplantae; Streptophyta; Magnoliopsida; Poales; Poaceae
Description: long non-coding RNA (TAES_LNC019239)
Source: RNAcentral